UAUCACUGAAUUCAUCGUCAAAUGAAGUCUCCAAAAAGAUUAUGCUUUUUUAAGCACAUUACACAAUUUCAUAGUGGCAUAAUCUUUACUUAAACCAGAGCUAGUAUAAAGUUGGGUCAUCUAUUUUGAAGCGGAGACAUCCUAAUCUGUUUUCUCUCUUUUUGCCGGGAAGAGCUAGUACAUGAUCGAGGGAAGCUGCAAAACUAAAUAGUACUAAAUAAACCAUUGUGCAAAGUGAAGUGAACAACAAAGUUCAAGUUCAGCAUUUCAGUUUGUAGCUCUGCACAGAUGUGCAUCCAGCUUUACUGACAUGAUAUCUGCAUAUACUUACAAUAUUCAUGUAGUCGCAACAAGUCGAAAACAAAACAAAAUACAGGGCACGUUUGAUCACACGUGAUGAUCGUCACAUUCAGGUUACAACAGAGAUCCAACAACUCGGUGGUUUGGGUAAUAAUAGAUCAGUCUGCGAGUGACAAGGGCGCCAUCUGCCAAGUUGUGUAUCAUACAUUAACAUUACCAAAUGGACUAUUAUACACAUGCCAGCACAGCGGUUCUCUUCUACGACCUCACUUUGGCCAGCCUCUCCCUUAUCUUUUCUAGAUCAUCCUCGUCGUCGUCAACGGAUUCCGCUAGAGCAGUUCUCUGUGCAUGCGAUGGAAAGAUCCUUGUGAGGCGUUUCAAGACUCCAAAGAGACUUCAAGAUUGCAAAAUGUGAAGGGCAAGCACGGGUCGUAUUGUAUUAGUACCUGUGCGGGUUCGCUUGUCGAUGGUUGUGUGACCUUCUCUUUUUGUUUGCGGACGGCAUCAGGAAGCUGGGACGCAGUCUCCCCGGCGAUUGCGGAGAGGACCUUAUCAACCUCCUCCUCGAUCUCCUCCUCCAUGCCCUCAUCGUCCAGUGCUGAAUCCAUGGCAUCAUUGACCAUCUCUUCCAUCACGCCGGCCUGCAUUACAAAAACCAUUUAGCGAGAACCGGUACCAGUACAAAACACAAGAGAGACCUUCAAACGAGGACUUUUGUUAUAUACCUUUGUCAUCUCUUUGCUGAAUUCCUGCAUGGUGACAGCUAUCUCUGGGGCCUUCAUCAGAUUGUUCACAAGCUUCAUCACUUCGGUGCUCUUGGACAAAUGUCCUACCGUCCUGGUGGUAGCUACAAGAUUAUAAAGCACAGCAUGUCGUUAGUACAAACCUUCAGUCUGAAUGAACGAAAGAAACCUAAUCCUACUUCUCCAUAAGUUAAGCCAUGCCAUAAUAACUUCUAGGAAAGCACCAAGGAAUGGUACAUGUUAAUUUCAGUUCAAGUCUUAUGUUCAAAAAACAAAAUGCAAGUCAAAGAAUUCACAAGCAAUACCACUUGCAAGUAGGCUGUCUGGUAUGUAUUCACAAGCAAGUAAGAUUAACUACCAGCUAGGAACAAAAUCUCCAUAUUAAUGUGCACAUUAGUAUCUUUCAUGUAUUUAUAACUUCUCCCCCUGGCCCUAGUCCUGAUCCACAUAAACUUGAAGCCCGAUACAGCAGAGGUUAAUUUUGCAUCUAGGUGUGGAAUUUCAGCCAGAACUAUGAAUAUUAGCGCAGAUUUUUUGAGCUGAGAAGAGUAGGAGAGGCUCCUACUGUGCUAUACUCCCUCCCUUCCAAAAUAGAUGACUCAACUUUAAACUAACCUUAGUAUAAAGUUGAGUCAUCUAUUUUGGAACGGAGGGAGUAGUAAAUAAAGGUUAUCUUUGCAUCUUGGAGGCUAUAUCUAUACCAAUGAACAGCACACUGUAUUUGGAUGCUAUCUAUACUAGUAUGGAACAAUUCGAGGUAGACAAUUCGAGGCAGGUGUAAAUUACUAAAUGUCACCAUGCUAGAAUGCCAUCUAUCUACAGUAGAAAGGAUGAUAUGAGGCAGGCGGCGUCGAUUUAUAUUACCGACGAUCUCGCCGAGGUGCAUGGAGAUGGAGUUGAGCUGGGCCUUGUUCUCGUAGAGGCGGUUGACGGCCUUCCUGGACUGCACCAGCUCCUUGGCCAGCGCCUUGAGGAGGAGAAAGAAGCAUCACCAGCAGCAGUCAGCAGAGGAGACAGACAAAAUCGGUAAAUCCGGCGCCCAAAUCGCUCCAUGGCGCAGGCAGAGUAGAGUAGGAGGAUAUGUACUAGGUACCUUGGCGGAUCCCAUGUCGCCGCGCCUGGCGGACUCCUUGAUGGCCUUCUCCACCUUCUUCUCCUCCUUCUGCACGUCUGCGCCCCCACACACACCCCAAACCAAAAUCCACCCAUCAGUUGACCGUAUAGAGCCCUAGCUUGGAUCGAAUCGGGAGGAGGAACAAGGGGGAACCUCGGAUCUGGCGCUCGAUGUUGCGGCCCUCGUUGCGGAGGCGGCGCUGCCACUCGCGCAGCUGCUGCUGCGGCGUCGGCUUCGGCUUCAGGAGGCUCUUCACCGCCUCCAUCGCCGGCGGUUCGCCUCGAUCGAUCCACCGGAAGCAGAGGCAGAGGCAGUGGGGAACCAACCAACACGCCGAUGCCGAAGGAGGAGUUGCUCCCAGCUGCUAUUUCUUUUUUUCUUUUUUUCUUUUGAGGAAUCCAAUACGGGCGAGCUAAUCGGGCCAGCCCAGCCCAUUAGGGGCAGUCCCUCGCUGUGCUCCGGUUUUUUUCCUUUUCCUUUUUCUUUUGUUUUUUCACAGCUUUUUUUAUGCCUUUCGUGGCUAAAUACUGUUUGCUUAUCGUCUUUCCUCGUGUUUUUCUUCCUUCUUGUUUUAUCGGGGUUUCUUAUCAGCACGUGUAUAUCUUUUUCAUCAGCGUCGUCCAUUAUUUUCGUAUAUAGGAGGAACAUUUUUGUUGUGCUCAUUAAAAAAUAUUAAAUAAAUGCUUCAGAUUUUUUGGAAAUAUUUUUUUUCAUGUAUACUCUGUUUUAUACACAUUGUACAUUUUUAAUAUACAUCUAAAACAUUAUAUAAUAUUUCCAAAAAAUAUAUGUUUCAAAUUAAUAAAUACGUGAUUUCACAUUUUUUGAAUUGAAUAUUUGUUUUUGAAUAGGUGCUAAGCAUUUCUUUCAAAUAUACGCUGACACAUUUUUCGAAUGAUAAAAACAUUUUCUUACCUUAUGUAAACAUUUUAUUACAUUUGUAUAAGUAUUUUUUCAAAAUUCGGGAAACACAUUUUUGAAAAUGUAAUUUACAUUUUUUUAAUGUAUGAAACAUUGUUUCAAUUACACGAACAUUUUUUUAAUUGUCAUGUUCAGUUUUUCUAAGGUGUGUCUUUUUUUUAAAAAAUGUGAUAAACAUUAUGGUGAAUGUGGGUGAAUCAGUUUGUCAUAUGUGAAAUUGUGCACCCCGCCAUACAUUAUCAAAUGGACUAUAUUCAACACAUCAGCACAUCAGUUCUCUUUUACGACCUCACUUUGCCCAGCCUCUCACUUAUCUUUUCUAAAUCAUCCUCGGGCUGCAUUCAUUUAGCGGAUCGACACCAGAGCCAUGACUACUCCGUAGCACGCAAACGGUGCACCGUGGGAUUUGUUUAUCACUCGUACUGUUUCGGUAACCAAUAGGUGGGCUAACCUAGCUACUCGUACUGUUUCGGUGUUUCACACAGUUGUAGGAGAGUGUGUGUAUCGUGUGCAAGCAAUAAACAAGUUAAUGUUCUUGAGUGUGGGCCAGUGCCGCCAAAUUGGGCAGGUUUGUUCUCCUGUACAUGUGGGCCGCUACAUCACUUAAAUGAAUCGCCAACUCCACUGGCGGUGCGAAUGAAGAUGCAUAUAAGUAUGCAUAGGUCAACAAUUUUGGUAGGUUCAACCUCCUUUUCAAAAAAAAAAUUGGUAAUAUGAAUAUGAAUAGAUUAUAAGGGGUGCUAGCUAGCUAGGGCUAACGGCGGCUCAACAAACACGUACCAUUGCGUCAACAACAAAAGAAAACGAGCAGGACAUAAAAGACCACUAACUUGUUUCAUAAUCACGAUGAGAAUGUUUAGUCAUGACGGAGCAGGAUAUCCAAAACCAUGGAAACUAUUUGAAGAAAACGAAAACACGAUAGAAGAGAAAUCAGAUCAUGAGAUGAGAUAGGCGCCAAAUGGCCCACUGAUUGGAAUUGAGAACGACAAUCCAAGAAAAGAAGAAGACGAAGAGGAUGACACGACACUUUUUUUUAUUUUUGCGGGAACGACGACGACAUAAGCUAUAGCUUAGUUGCAGUGCAGCACCAAUGAGAAACAGGGUGAGACGGUGAUGCAUGAUCAGGUAGAUGUACGUGCGAGCUCAAUGCAACAUCGACCUCGAUCGAAUAUGUAUGACCAUUUUCGCACGCCACAUUCGGUUUAGCGGAUGGGCACCAGAUCGAGCCCAGCACGCAAACGACGGAAUUCGAUUAUCAAUAAGUGCGGCGAAAGGUAGCAACAGUGGAAGCCAAUAGCCUCAUCAUCGUGUACAAUAAAACAAGUUGAGUGUCGACCACUGCCGCCAAGUUACUUCUCCUGUUGGCGCCACGGGGGAGCGGGGCCGACCACGACCAGGGUCACCACUAGAGCCACGUCACUGGAUUAGUUUGUUAAAAUCAAUUCUUGAACUUGACCGGUGGUGCAAAAUGAGCUACUCGGAUGCAUGAAUAUACGGUUAGCCACGUAUGUACUUAGGCCUCAUUUGGUUCAUAGAAUAGGAAUUUUAUAGGAAUAGAAAAAUCAUAGAAAAUAAGAUGGCAUGCAUCUCAAUUUCUAUAGAGAAAGAGAUGUCAUUUGAUGCAUAGGAUAUGAAUUUUUUUCAUUGAGUCUAGGCUAAUGUUUUCUUUCCUCCAAAAUAUGAAGGAUUGAUUCCUAUCCUAUGUAGAAAUAGGAAUCCGUUCCUAUAAAUCAAAAAGCUUCAAAGAAUUUUUUUCUUUGCAAAUCCUAUCGAGUUCCUGCAAAACCAAAUGAGGCCUAGCUAGCUAGCUAGGGUUGGUGACGGCUCAACAAACAUGUAUCCGUAUACAGCGAACAGCGAAAGAAGAUGUCCGACGGUCCAGAGCACUGCUCCAGCAGCAUCCACGCAUGCAUGUGCAUGGAGCUUUUCUUUUAUGUAUAUAGAGCUAAAUUAUGUAUAGUAACCCCGUGGACUCUCGCACGUUCUUCCAAAGGCAUGUCCAAAUCACCUUCUGAGAUCCAUCCGUGCAAAUGGACUUAAUUAAUCAGGUGCACACAUGCAUCUACAGGACGCGAAGAUUCACAUAAUCUCAUCAAACUCUCCACAUCUGGACGUGUUUUACCAUCCAGCAUGGUCCGUAUCUGUUCGUGGAUCGUUCCGAACUUCCGUUUUUCGUACGUGACUGUUGACCGAGCUUCCAUCUAGACGAGGCAGCGUAUUUCCAUCGCACGUUCUCAGAGAAUUCUUAUCAGGUGUUACGCGGCUUCCCUUUUAAACAGAACAAAUUUCAGCUCCCUAAGCGGUAUGGGACUAAUAAGUUGGUACUAGCGUUUCAGAACAGGCAAAAAAAUAAAAUAGCCUUCGCUAUAAUUCGAACCGCCAACAUGAGAUUUCCCAGGAAGCAUCGGCCUUGCAACCAACCCGCCAUUAUGACUUGUUGUUACAUGACAUGGUUGGUAAUAAUUUUAUAUUCACUCCUGGUGGGUUGCAAGUGCGUGAGGCAGGUUACUAAAAUAUUCCAUGUAACAGGGUCUAUUCCGAAAUUUUAACUGAGAUCGCGAGGCAUUUUGCCUUGGAAUGCCUAGUGGCGGCAGUUUUCGGAAGUGCCCUCUUUGUUUGAACAUAUUACAGCGUGUUGGAAAAGUGCCUCUAAAUCUGCAUUGGCGUUUUAUGAAACGCCCCAGAUUCUACUACUCCCUCCAUCCGGGUUUAUUGGGCUUACCAGCAGAAACUCGGGUACCAAGGAAAACAAUUAAUGUUGAUGGCGCAUGAUUUAACGCUGAGAACACAUUAUUCGGAGCAUGCAAUGGCCAACCAGAGCAGCGCGUAGUUAAGGCAUGCAGCUGGUGGCACGCUUCGCCUCUCUAUGUGGCCAAUGACGCCCUAGUGGAUAGUUAUGGCAUGGUGCAUGCAGCUAAUAAGGCGGAUGUGUAACCAAUCCUGCGCGCAUGCAAUGGAGUUAAUCGAGGGAAAUUAAGUGCGUCUUGUUUAGAGGCCUUACAAAAACGGUACACGGUUAGUUUGCUUAAGGGCCUAAUAAACCCGGAUGGAGGAAGUACAUAUUACGACACUUAGGCUGGUCACAAUGGGCAAGAACAUAAGCUAGUAACUUACACACUUCUCUAGACUAUGUUACUAUCUUCAUAGUGGGUAGGAACAUCUAUGUAGUGUCAUGCAACGAUGUAUUUAUUAGGUUAUAGACUCAUUGUUUCUUGGAGUGUGUGAUGUUCCGGUAACUUAGCUAGUUACCACAAGCACCUCUCUCUUCAUUAAAUAUGUGCCACAUAAGCAAAGUUGUAUUGAAGUGUGUGAUGUUACUCCUAAGUUCCUCCCCAUUGUGACUAGCCUUAUCAGAAUGCCCUCAAAUACCACUAUUUUGAGGCACACUUCGUAAACGCCGUGCUAGCAUUGGACUUUUGAAGGCAUUUUUCAACAACGCCUCUAAGGAAGCUAACCUGAGGCGUUUAAGAAAACACCCUUACCAAAAUGCCUCUAAUUAAUGUCCGUGUUGUAGUGCGUCCGACAGCUUGAACCCACCCAAAUCCCUCUCCCGAACUUUCUCCCAUUCCUGCUUGAGGCGGUCAGCGCCGCUCCCAAGCAUUGUUGCGGCAUUCGUGCCGGCCCAAAGAGGGCACGACCUCUCUCCGGAGCCGACAUUGAAGCUUCGUGCGUGCAACAUGUUUUUGUGAAUGAACCGAGCUCAGACCUAUGUCAUGUGUGCGCUUUAUUUUUGCUGGUCAGAAACAAUUAAUUGGUGAGAUAUAUUCGAGCUGCUAAUGGAAGUGCCACUGUACAAGAAUUUGGAUUGUGGGCUGUUUGCCGACACGGUCGUCGGCCUAAGCCCAAUCCCAUCCCAUGACUCCCUAUCAGGUGACUUAUAUAUUGGAGGCGUUAGUCACUCAAGCCGACACACUCAGUUCCUCCUCGCCAUCUACUGUUCCACUCAGUAUUGCUGCUUUCGGUGAUCCCGUCACAUCGACCAUGUGCAUGGCCGUUUGGGUGAGCAGGCCUCCGAAACCCCAUCCUUUGUGAUCUUGCACCGGGAGAAUGGUGAUGACAGUUUUGGGGAGUGUCUCGGUGCGACCGCUCUCUGUUUGUCUUCGUCCUCGUCCUCUACUUCCCCUACACCAACACCAUGGCUGCCGCCGCCAAGAAGAAGAAGGCCGCGGAUGAAGCCCUAGUCGUCGCCGUUGCAUUAGGCUGGCCUACUGGACGGUAUAAUUAGUUCAUCACAUAUUUACGCAUUUAUGUGCUAGCCGUAUUUACUGUGUUCAUAGACGUUUCUGUUCUAUGUUUGGUACGUGAUCAUAUGUUUAGAUUUCAGCAUGAGCUUCAUACUCUUAAUGCCAUGUUCAUGAUCUAUUUAUGGAUUAAGUUAAUCCGAAUAGUGCUAAUAUACCUAGCAGUUUCUUACUCAACGUAUUAUUCGGAAAUUUGGCAAUUCUACGUACUCCAUUAUUUUUGUUUUAUUAGGGGCAUCUUGAAAAUCACAUCAACCAAAGAGGAUAGAUUUAAGUGCUAUAGACAACAUAUUGAUGCUACAUGCGUGACUCUCACUCCUUCAUGCAUCAUUUGAUUUUAUUUCUACAUUGAGAACAAAAGUUUGACAGAAUUUAAUGUGAACAUAGAUAUAGUUGCAUGUUCCCAAGACAAUGAUCCUUACAAAUAGAAAAAAAAUGUCUUGUUUCUAAAAUAGGCCCUUUAAUCCAGAAGAGAGGUGGUAUAGUUGGAUUGUCUUAAAACCCUUUUUAACACAUAUUUUUUAUAUAUUCUAACAUGCAAUAUAAUUUUAUACGAAAAGGUCAAUAACAACCUUACAGAGAUUAAAAAAUACAUCCAAAUCAUUGGCGGUGCCAGAGUCUUCUUUCUACUACAUCUACCGGCUGCUUUGGGUGAGAAAAACUCGGAGACUUAUCUCGGCAUCCCUCUCAGCGGAGGAAACUUGUUUAAAGAGAGAAGUUUGUACGAGUAGCGGCCUAACUGCCUACUCUUGUAAAUAAGAACUUAAUCAUCAUAAGAAAAUUUAAUGAUGACGGAGCAUGAUAUCCAAAACCAGGGGAGCUACUUGAGGAAAAUGAAAACAGUAACAGGGAAGCGAGAUAAAAUCAGGUCAUGAGACGAACUAAUAAUGAAAUUGAAAACAAGAGUCCAAGAGAGAAGAAGAAGAAGAAGACACAAGGUAGCUGCUGUGCUGGAGUAAUGCGAAACAGGGUGAGACGGUGAUGCAUGCAUAACGAUGAGGUGGAUGUAGUACGAGCUGAAUGCAACAUCGAUCUCGAUCUCAUAUAAGAAUUUUCGCACGCUACAGUCGUUUAUCGGAUCGGACACCACAGUCCUUCAAGUGUGAUGCGAGGAAGGUGAUGUGAUUCUCAGCAACAGUGGUAGCGAAUAGCCUAAUCAUCGUGUGCCGUAUAAGCAAGUCAGGUUCUCGAUCGAGUGUCGGCCAGUGCCGCCAAAUUACUUCUCCUUACAAAAACUAGACUAGGGCGCGCCCGACCAAACCAGUGUGAGCACGUGGAGCCACCACUACAACACGUACGUCAUUAGGAGGCAUUUUAUUAGCGGCGAUUUCUUAAAAUGCCUUAAAAUCAUGGUACUAACGGCACUUUGAGAAAGUGCCUCCGAUGCUCACGUGCUUUGAAGGUGAAUUUAGAAAAUGCCUCCGAUUGUUGCUGGCGUUCCGGUGGAUAGCGCCUCCAAUGCUUGGCUUAUUAUACAGAUUUGACCCUUGAUUUUAGACUAUUUGCAAAAUAACCCUCCCACCUCUGUCUUCUAUAGGUGACCAUCGAAAUAAUAAAAAAUAAAAAACAAAAGAUCGACUCGAUCUGCUCGCAUCGGCCGCUUGGGGCGUCGUCGCUGCCACCGGAGCCUCCGCCACCGGUGUCCCACACCGGAGCUGCCGCAGGCGUAGCGGCCGCCGCGGCGCCGCGGCCGGCAACGCCAUCCCGCGCUGGACCUCUUCUUCUCUCCUUCGCGAUCUCGCGGUGGGAUUGCAGUGACCGAGUGAAGGAGACCCAAAGGAGAGGGGAUAUCCAGGCACCGGAGAGGAGGCGACGGAGGAGGAGGAGGAGGAGGAGGAAGAAGGUGGCCUCGCACGCAUCAGCUUCAUCCUUCCCAUGCCAGACUCGCCCACGUUCUGUUGCUGUUCUUGAUCCAACGCUCCGGUGCACACAAGGUGUUUGAGGUAAUGCCCCUGAAUUUUUCUACUUCAUUUUACUUCCCUUUUGUGUUUGUGCUAGAUGUUCUGUAUGAACAAUCAUUUUGGCACGACAUUGUGCAGUUUGACUAUUGUUGGAGAAGCACUGAACUGAUCAAUACAUGUAGCUUAGUACUAUAUAUAACACUAAUUACUGGCACUUGCACAAUAAGCUAGUUGUACUCCCAGAAGUAGUGUGCAACAACGACAAGGAACAACCGAAAGUUGAUUUGUUAUUUUUGCUAGUUAAACUGACACUGCUUCUAGAAAUUCCUCUUUGCUUCUGCUCACAUUCAAAUAUUUAUUAUAGAAUUUUUAUGUGGCCUCUGCUUUAGUAUGUUACAUAACUUCUUCUAAGCACCUCAUGUUGAAGAACUUGGUUUUGUUCAGUUGAGAAUGGAUAGGAGUUGGAUGCGAGCAGCAAGGUCUUCCGCCGAGUAUUCUGAAGGAACUAGCAACUUCAUACAAUUUGCUUUCCGUGAGUCAGCAAAAAAUAGUAGGAUUCUCUGCCCUUGCAAGAUAUGUGUAAACUCUCGUUGGUUAGGUGAGCAUGAAGUCUAUGAUCAUUUGAUUUGCGAUGGAUUCAUGUCCGGAUAUACCAUAUGGAUUCACCAUGGAGAAAGUAUGCGGCCCUCCGAAGCAAUUACUGCUCCUAGUUCACAGUUUGAAGAAUAUGCUGAUAGUGAUGAGAUGGAUGAGAUGCUACUAGAAGGAUUUGGAAUGUACGAUACUCAUACUUUAGGAGAGGAGCAAGAGUCUGAAGAUGAUUUGGACGAUGAUGCUGAGGCAUACUAUAGAUUAGUUAAUGAUGGACACCAAGAGUUGUACCCAGGUUGCAAAAGAUUCUCGAAGCUGCAAUUUUUGGUGAGGUUGCUUCAUAUCAAGAAUAUGAGGGGAAUGAGCAAUGUAUGCUUUGAUGAGGUAUUGACGCUAAUUAAGGAGGCACUUCCAGAAGGUCAGGCGUUGCCCAAAAAUUUUCAUGGGGCCAAAAAGUUUAUGAAAGCCAUUGGUAUUGGAUAUGAUAGUAUAGAUGCAUGCAAAAACGAUUGCAUUCUAUUUAGGAAGGAACAUGCUGAUGCCAUAUCAUGUCCAGUGUGUGGCACAAGUAGAUGGAAGAGCGUAAAUACUGGAGUUGAUGGAAGGCGUGUCCACAAGGUGCCUCAAAAGGUGGUUCGUCAUUUCCCGCUAAAGAAGAGACUCCAAAGGUUGUUCGCUUCUACAAAGACGACAUCAGAUAUGAGGUGGCACAGCGAAGGCCGCACAAAGGACGGCUUGAUACGACACCCAGCUGGUUCACCUGCAUGGAAACACUUUGAUGCUAUUCACAAAGACUUCAGUUCAGAAGUUUGCAAUGUUAGAUUUGGAUUGGGAGCUGAUGGUUUCAACCCUUUUGGAAAUAUGAAUCUCUCAUAUAGCAUAUGGCCUAUCGUCUUGAUCCCCUACAACCUUCCUCCAUGGAUUUGUAUGAAGCAAUCAAACUUUAUCCUCUCUAUCAUCAUUCCUGGUAAAAAAUCUCCAGGGAAAGACAUGGAUGUUUACAUGCAGCUGACCAUAGAUGAUCUUUUGGAGCUUUGGAAUGAUGGAGUCUGGACUUAUGAUGCCUCUCGAUCUAAGAAGUUUCUCUUACGUGCCGCACUACUAUGGACAAUAAGUGAUUGGCCUGGGCGUGGAUCUUUGUCUGGAGAAAAUAUAGCAGUUUGCUCCCAUUGUCUAUCAGAGACAUGCUCUCUUUGGUUAAAGAAUGGACACAAGAAAUGCUAUAUGGGACAUCGCAGAUUCUUGGAACCUAAUCACGAGUUUCGAUUUGAUGCUGAGUCAUUUGAUGGUUUUGAGGAACAUCGAGAGCCUCCCGUUCCCCUUUCAUCACAUGACAUUUCAGUAUUGACAAAGGACAUGAAAACUACGUAUGGGAAGCUGCAGCAGAAGAGCAGCAGGAAGCGACACCGUAAUCAGGUAGAUGAGAAUGAUGCAAGCAUGCAGCAAGACACUUCAAUAUUCAGAAAGAGAAGUUGCUUCUUUCAGCUGCCAUACUGGGAAACACUUCUAUUGCGUCAUAAUCUGGAUCCUAUGCACAUAGAGAAGAAUGUGUUUGAGAACAUGGUGAUGAAACUGAAUCGGAAGAUGAAGAAGGUGAGUCUGGACAAGAAGAUGAACAUGAAGAAGAAGAGGAAGUUCGACAAGAACAGGAGAAAACACAUGGUUAGUUCUGAGGGCAUAAAAGAAUUUACAUGUGCUUGUUUUGCAUGGGCCUAAUGGUAGUUCCUAUCUGUUCACAUACCAGAAGUUGUAGAGAAGACUAGAAGAGGACCUACUCACAUGAGGCGCUUCUGGAAAGAACAUGAUGUUGAUAACAAGAUCAAUUUGAAGUUCAACAGAUUUGGUCAGCCAUGUGGUUUGAAGACUUGCAAGCUGACAAAUUUUAUUGGAACCCUAGUGAAAGGAAAAGAAAUGUCCUUAGCUGCUCAAAACUGGAGCAAAGUACCAAAGUUAGAGAAAGAAAAGUUGUGGGGUUCUGUCUAGGUAUGCCAACGCAAUCUAACAUAUAUAUUUGCAUCUUCAACAAACAAGUCAUUUUUUUCUUCAACGAACAAGUUGUCACAAUUGUAUUUUAUUAUAGGCUUUUUUCAACAUUGAUGAGUCAUACAAAAGAUGGGUGUUGAGAUCAGCUAGUAAAAAAUGGAAAGACUUCAAGGUUGUUUUAAAGAGGAAAUACUACAAAGCUGAUUUGUCACGGGCACGGAAUAUUCUUAAUGGUUGUGAUAAUAGAAUUCCAAUUGGACAGUGGGAGUGGCUAGUAAAACACUAGAGAACAGAGAAAGCUAAGGUGAGUACUCAAUGGUGUAGUUUUGUAUCCUAUGCUAAAUAUGUGUUCCACAUAUAAGCUUGUUAUGAGUUUCUUCACCAUAUUUGUGUGCCCAGGAAAAAUCUGAGAGAAACAAAGCCACUCGGGCAUCGCAACUCGAGGGAUGCAACGGGACCCACACCGCUGGGUCACGAAGUUUUGCAGUUGUCCUUGAUCAAAUGGUAAUCAAUAUUCCUUGUUUUAUUUUACCCCAUAAUAUUCAUUUGCCCUGUUCUUUGUGUCAACGGGACCCACACCGCUGUGUCGAGGAAGGCUGACCUUACUUAUUCUGCCUCUCAUAUGUACACAGCUGAAUUGUGGACAGAUUUGCUGUCUAGAUUUGUUGCCUUAGUGUCUUUGUCCUUUUUAACUUGUGUAACUAUUGUAUCAACAUUUCAUCUCUGCUUCAGGAGAUGGUAGAGGGUAGGGAAAUUGGGCAUGCCGAGCUUUACGUGGUUACGCAUACGAAAAACAAUGGAUAUCCAGUCAACCAACAAAGCGAAGUAAAAAUGGUAUGUAGUUCACUUCAUAGUGCUCUGUUCUAUUAUAUUCCUAGUUAGCUUUCACUUGAUACUGCUGUGUUCAGUGCUUCACAAAAUUCAUGCUUGCAACCCUACUGUUAUACGAACCUUUCAGGAUGAAAUUAAAAAAAGGAUUCGGGAAGAUCCUUCUUUGAUUGGUGAGGAGGCCCGUGAUGGUGAUCUUUAUUCAUCAAUUUUCCCAAAAGGAAAGAAAGGAAGGCCAAGUGGCCUUGGUCUAUUAGUAGGUGGAGUCGCUUUGGAGCGCCUUGCUCAAGUUGAAGCUGAACUACAUGUUGCUAAACAAGAGAACAUGGAGCUUCGGCAUGUGGUGCAUACUCUGGUGGCAAAUCAAACUUCAAUGAUGGCCAAGAGUGAGAGAAUGGCAGAACAGUACAAUGAGCUAAAAAGUUUGAUCAUAGCUUCUAGGGGGUCUGUUGAAAUGGGAGGAAUUCCAGAAAAGGAGCUUCCAAAUAAAGAACCUUCUAAGGUGAUUCUUGUUUUCAUCUCUUAUAUUCAGUCACAUUAUUUGAGCAUUUACUAGUAGCUAAAUAUGAGUUUCCACAUACUAGGACUUGGAAACCAUGAAUGACGAAGAACAAGCAACUUCACUUUCAUAUACUACCAAGGCAUCCGAGGCAAUGGCUGCUCCAAGGCUGCUCCAAGGCAAUGGCUACUCUAAGUUGGUGAAGGCAUCCCAACUGGAAUCAAAGACAACAGAAUCAGCACUACCAAGUCUUGCGCCUGUGCCAAAACCAAAGAAGACAAAGACAACUAAACAUAAGAAACCAGGAAUAUUUCAAACACCGCUCCAAAAUGGGCCAAAGGUGAUUUUUUCUAUAUGUGUCUCAACUUAUUAACCAACUAGCGAAUUAGAAGGGUUACUUAGUACCAUUGCAACUUACAGGAUGGAUUAGAAGAUACCAUAAAGUGUGGCAUGGAAGUUAGUUUGACGUCGCCAAAUAGUGCAAGUGUGGUGGCAAUGGGAACCAUUCAGAAAACUGAUAGAAAAGCUAAAGCAAUUGAUGGCCACCACUAGCUGAUUGUGUUGAAGUUCUUGUCAACGUCGUGCUCAAAGAAACAACUGAGCUGCCUCGUGCAUAAGGGAAAAUAAACAAGCUAGGAAAUGCCCAAGCUAGGUGUAUUCCAUGGCCACGCAAAAAUGUAUGAUACAUGACACUUUGCUAUCUCAUUUGCCCUGUUCUUGUAUAUGCAACUAUUCUGAACUCUUUUUUAUGCAGAUUAUGCAAACAGAUCGUACUACCGUGCUGCACUCUAAGGUACUAUCAUAGCUCAUAGUUUUGGUUUUGUGCUCAUAUUAUGUAUAACUAUACAUGAUUUUUGUUUUUACCCAAUUGUAGGUUUCUAGUGUUUGUAGUCAGGUGUCUUUCAACAAUAGCGAGAAUGUGGAUCCCAACAAAACAACUACUGGAACUCAGGUGACCAACCAUGAGACUGGUUGCAGUACUUCAGAAGGUGCAGUGAGUAAUACACUGAAGAGAAAGAAGGUUUCUAAAACAACAAGAAUGAAAAAAACUACUCAAGCAAUCUCUGCUACAACCGGAAACAACAUACUUAGGAAUUCGGGCAGGAAAACAUGAAAGAUGGUCAUAGGUGAGUUGUACAUGCCUUUUCCUGUAGUGAAUUAGAGCAUGAGGUUUCCUGGCCCCUUUUUCUUGCAUGCAUGUCUCUGUAACCCUGUUACAGUGCUGAGAACAUUCUUUGCUCUUGUAGAAGCCUAGAAAUGCUGGUACACUGCUCAAGGUUGAAGUUGAAGGUGACACAUCGCUGAUUUGCUUGCCCUUGUGUGUGCCCGUCUAAGAUUGGCUUGCUCUUAUGCUGGUACACUGCUGAUUGGAUUGCUCUUGCAUCAAGCUGGAACACUUGUUCGUAUUGUUGUCACAACAUUAGGAAGUGACCUGUGUGUUUCUGAUUGAUACUUUGAUAUUGUUUCUGAAUUUGUGAAGAUGUUCUUAUGGUGAUGCUUUGCAUUAUUCGCAUGCACGAUGAUACUUCUAGCCGAUGCAAGCUUCUCAAUCUUUUUUUCUAUUGUAUGUGUUUUUACAGAGCUAGAUGCAAAUUAUUGAGCUUGCUGUAAUAGUGGUUUUAUCAUAUUCUUAUUAUGCAUAUGUAAAGUUUGUGGCAUUCUUAUGUGCCCUGGAAACAUUUUGGAGGCAAUACAAAAGACGCCACAUAAUGGUUUUGAGGCAUUCUUUAGAAAUGCCACAAAAAUGUCUUGAAGGCAGUAUGAGAGAUGCCUGGCAUAAUUUUUAGAGGCAUCAUGACAAAUGCUGCAAAUAGUCUUUGGAGGCAUUCUAAAAAAAUGCCUUCAAUUGAGCUUGUUGGCGUUCUGAAAAAAUGCCUGCAUUUAAUCUUUUUGAGGCAUUGUGGAAAAAUGCCUCAAAUUGAGCUUGCUGGCGUUUUAAACAUGCCUCUGUGUUGACCUUUGGAGGCGUUCUAGAAAAAUGCCUCAGAAGACCUUUCCCUUGGUGACCAUCUCUAGCAUAUUUGGAAAAUGCCUUCUUUUCUCUAAGCUGGCAUUAUAGGGGCUUUUUGAGGCAUUUUAAAGUGCCUGCAAUUGACGUACGUGUUGUAGUGCACGGCACCAUAUAUUAGAACAUCUACAGCCGGACAUAUCAAACCAUCCGUCGUACACCCGCGGACGCGCCCGGUGAUUGACCGGACAGGAAAGAAGAAAAAACGUGAUCCAAUCAGACCCCUCCUAUCAUCCCUAUACGCCCGCGUUGUCCGCGAAUCCUCAUAUUCAACUCAAAUAUGGGAAGUAUAUGAGGGCUCGCGAACGCGCCCAGUCACGACCUCAUCUCCACCAAUCACGUGCAAGUGACCGGACAUACGAAAAGAAAAAUAAAAAGUGUGGAUGCCCGGACGGAUAAAUAGGGGUUCAAAACGGGCAGGCUCCGUCACUGACGAGACGCGUCUGCGGGCUUUUAAGGGGUCAUAUUUGCUCUUACUCACCCGUCUAAAACUCUCUAAUUUUAUGAGGCGGAGCGAAUAGGUCAGCAAACACGUAGUACGGUCGCGCGCAUCAACAGCGAACGAAGAAGAGGUCCGACGGUCCAGAGCGCUGCAUGUGCAUGGAGCGUUAAUUUCGUUAAUUAGUAGACGAUGGAGCUCAAUUAGCCGGACGAGAGAGAGAGAGAGAGAGAGAGAGAGAGAGAGCGCUCUUGCACGCACGUUCUUCCAAAAGCAUGUCCAAAUCACCUUUUGAAAUCAUGGUGGUGAGUGCACAUGCGAGAUCAUCCAUCGGUGCGGCUAGCCGUCGCAAAUGGGCUUAAUUAAUCAGGUACACACAUGCAUCUACAGGACCCAAAGAUUCACAUAAUCUCAUCAUUCAUGCAUCCCAUCGAUCUAGUAGCUAGACCUCUCUUACUUGUCCUCUUUCAACUAGCCAUGUUCCUUCUGCUCGUUUCCAAUGAUUAUGAUUUGUGUUUUUUCUUCCCAUCAAUUGUCGGCACGAUGUGGCCAAUAGUAACUUUUUGUUCGGCGGUAUGUCUUCAAUUUUCACCACAUUGACCUGGGUCGCGCCUGUGCGUGGCCGCGGCCGGGAUCAUGUGGAGGUGUGGCCUUCAUAUCGCAUCUCUGGCUAGAUCGUCGCACGCGCAUCGUAAUUUUGUUGAAGGUAUUGGCUCGAUUCUACGUUCGACUUGCAGUUGAACUCAUCAAUAUGCGGGUGCAUGUGCGGCGAUUCCUUCUUAAAGCUUUGUCUAGGGGUAUUUGUGGUUUUUUUUUCAUCCGGUCGCAUAUCAUAAAGUUUGUGGUAGGAUUAGGGAGAUUUUGCCGCGAGGUAGUUGGCCUUGAGUUCUUUAAGCCAAUUCGAAGACACAAAUACUUUCACCAAUUUCGAAGAGCACAUCGGGUGGUUAUUACUAUCGACUUUGGAAUAAUUAUUUCCCAGUCGCAUGAGAAAUACUUCCCUCUAUCCAUAUUAGUUGUCCUGUUAUAAUACAGAGUUAUACUAUGUUGUAACAAUUAACAUGGAUCAGAAGGAGUAAUAAAACUGCCGUAGCAAACCCAGCAGGGAGGGAAGCAAGCAGAUGGCGUCGCAUAGAGGUUUCGGUUGGGUGGGCUUUUUCUUUUUCUUCUCUCUCCUGUCUGGGCCUGUCCGGGCUGUCCGUCCGGUCACUUUGAGGGGUCUGAUUGUAGAUGCUCUAACAAAACAAUCGUAACAACCCCUCGAAAAAAAAAACUGUCAUAACAACCUCAGCAGGCAGGGAAAGCAAGCACAUGGCGUUGUACAUAGUGGGUUGAUGUACCAAAUCCUAGGUAGGUUGUCAGUUAGGUUCGGUUAGUUAGUUGCAUCGCAUGGCAAGCAUGUGCAACGGCUUUUGCCUGCGCUCUACUUGCAGAAAGGGAUGAUUGACGAAGCUGCAGUGCGCUGCUGCACAUAUAGUUCCAUCUAGUACAUUGUGAUUAUUGAGCACCAGAAAGUGCUGGUGCUACCUUUAAUUUAGGAGGGAGGUCAUUGUCCAAAUCAGUCAAGUACCCACCGGCUAGGUGCCGUGCGGGUGUACGUAUACAUAUGUGCAUGUGGAUCGAGCAAUUAAUAGCGAGGAAAAUCCGCACCACAAUUUCUAUAAAACCAUUCAAGAAUAUGCACGUACAGGUCGGAUGGAACUACAAUUUCUAUAAAACCAUUCAACUAUAUGCACACGGAUCUCCCAUGGAACAACAAUUUCUAUAAAAUCAUUCAAGUAUAUGUACGUACAGGACGGAUGGAACUACAAUUUCUAUAAAAUCAUUCAAGGAUAUGUGUGCGUACAGGACGGAUGUAUCUAAUAAAUUAAACACAAUAUUUCGGACUUGAAGAUUUGACACGCAUCAAUAAAGGAUGGAUGUACAUACAUGCACAGUGCAUGGCAGACACUUCAGAACAAAACACAAAAUACAUGGCGACACAAAUAGGUCAAGUACACCAAUGAAGCAUAGUUUAAAAAAUCGAACCCUCAACCGAAACGGUGAGGUUGUCGGUUCAGGAUCUUACUGAUCGGGACGGCGGUUCACCGGUUCAUUUGCGACAGAAGCUCAUAAUAUUUAAGAUAAUUUUUCAAAAAAUCGACCUCACAUGAAAUGGAAACAUAUAACAUUGGGCGUAAACCAUUAAGAAAUCAGAAAGCGUUAUUAACAUAGUUGGUUAUUAGGCCUUUAGCAUGCCUUAUCUGAAGGUUAUGUGUUUGAUUCCUUGUUGUUGCACCUUUUUUUCAAACAUUUUCAAGUUUUUUUUACUAAAAGGCCGGUACAGUUAAAAAUGGACAAGAGUUUUGCUACAUUUAUCAAGAGAUUUCCUACGGAAUUAUUCUAUGGGGCGACNNNNNNNNNNNNNNNNNNNNNNNNNNNNNNNNNNNNNNNNNNNNNNNNNNNNNNNNNNNNNNNNNNNNNNNNNNNNNNNNNNNNNNNNNNNNNNNNNNNNNNNNNNNNNNNNNNNNNNNNNNNNNNNNNNNNNNNNNNNNNNNNNNNNNNNNNNNNNNNNNNNNNNNNNNNNNNNNNNNNNNNNNNNNNNNNNNNNNNNNNNNNNNNNNNNNNNNNNNNNNNNNNNNNNNNNNNNNNNNNNNNNNNNNNNNNNNNNNNNNNNNNNNNNNNNNNNNNNNNNNNNNNNNNNNNNNNNNNNNNNNNNNNNNCAUAUAUUAUUAGUUAUAUAAAUGGUCAAAUUUUAACUAAAAAUGUGAAAGGGCCAAUAAAACUUAGCGGAGGAAGUAAAUAAAAAAAAGUCCAUUUUACUACCCUGAAGAAAAUGGGUUGUUCAUAUAACCCCUGAACUUUUUUUUGGUUCACUUAACCCCUAAUUUAAUCAAUCCCGUUCAGAAAUCAUCAUUGGCGGGUUUGUAAGGUGGUUUUGCUGAUAUGAACAAAGUCAAAGCAGUUUGUUGACUAGUGGGACCAUAUAAUACUAAUAUUGUGUACGGUCUGCGCCGCUAGCACUGUACAUAAAGAGGCGGUACAUCUGCAUAUCGACGGUCGUGGCUCAUCCAACGUCGGUCAUACUAGUACCAGCUUAUAGAUAGGUAGGGUACUAGCUAGAUCGAUAAUGAACAUGGUCUAUUGGUACGACUCUCCUCUUAUUUCCACGCUAGCGACGUGUAGCUAGGUGUGCAUGUGAUGGGUGUGACCACGACGCGCCAACACAUUCCUUAGCUUCAAUUCAAUUCAGAUGUUAUAUACCACUCCCUCCGUCCAUAAUAUAAGAACACUUUUAACACUACACUGAUAAAAAAACGUUCUUAUAUUAUGGGACGAAGGAAGUAGUUUCUUUGUAUCUAGAUGCAUUUAAAUGUUAGUAAUACAUUCGUUUGAGCGUCAACUAAUUUCAGACGAAGGAAGUAGUAAUAUUUGCUAACUUAUUAUAUAUUUACUAAAUUUAGAUGGAGUACAUGCUAGUAACAAACAAUGGAUGUUUCUUCUGCCAGAAGCAAUGCCACGCUAAUGGAAAAAGUCCAAAUUGGUGGAUAAAGUAGCUGAUUCAUUUCGUUUAAUUCUAGCGUAGGCUCCAUCGCACAAAAAAAGUCAAGGCUAGUGUGAAGUAGUGCAGUACUCCAGUAUGCACCGGCCGGGCGGCCGGCCAGUAACCGAAUUUCAGCCGCUCAGGUCAGCUAGCCUUAAACCAGCAGACAAGUUAGGUUCGCCACUUGCAAAAAGGUUUUUUUGCCGUCAAACCAGCAUUAUUAGUUGCAGAAAACAUGGGGAUUGGAUCCUGUGGUUUAUUUGCAUAUAUUCUUGUCUCGAGGAGGAGGCAAUCCUGCGAUUUGCAUACGAUAACAGCUCCUUGAUUUGGGAGGCAUGUUUAAAAUGGUCAAAUGUCCAGCCCAAUCUCCCUGCAAUUUGGUCCAUCUAGACAAAUUAAAUUACAUCAGCUGCAAAGCAUUCCCUCCAUCUCAAAUAUAAGACGUUUUCUAGGCUUAGUCGUUUCUGAGGCUUGGACUAAUUAAGUCUCAGAAAUGUGAGUGCACCAACCUUUUGAUCGAUUAAAGUAAUAUUUUUCUCGAUCAUCGUAACUACUCCCUCCGUCCCGUAAUAUGAGAACGUCUUUGACACUGCACUAGUGUUGAAAAGACGGAAUGAGUACUUACUUACAAUUGACGACCUUGCAACCUCAGGAUUGUCUUUUUCUCUAGAGUAGUAGCAGCGAGAUCAUCAUAGCCGAUUCUGCGUGUACCAUCCAUAAGAAAAAUGAGAAUCCUCCUCAUGUGUCAACUAGUAAUAAAUGAAAGCUCAUCAUCAGUCUCUGCAAUCACCAGUGUAUAACUAACUCCCAAUUAGCAACCAACCACUCCUGAGAUUAGCACCCAUGUGGGACCCACCACACCCUACACCACACUACAUAUAGCCCGAUGCGUGAAGGCAGCUCAAUCGGAGUAGAACCCCAAACACACACACACAAACACACACACACACACACACANNNNNNNNNNNNNNNNNNNNNNNNNNNNNNNNNNNNNNNNNNNNNNNNNNNNNNNNNNNNNNNNNNNNNNNNNNNNNNNNNNNNNNNNNNNNNNNNNNNNNNNNNNNNNNNNNNNNNNNNNNNNNNNNNNNNNNNNNNNNNNNNNNNNNNNNNNNNNNNNNNNNNNNNNNNNNNNNNNNNNNNNNNNNNNNNNNNNNNNNNNNNNNNNNNNNNNNNNNNNNNNNNNNNNNNNNNNNNNNNNNNNNNNNNNNNNNNNNNNNNNNNNNNNNNNNNNNNNNNNNNNNNNNNNNNNNNNNNNNNNNNNNNNNNNNNNNNNNNNNNNNNNNNNNNNNNNNNNNNNNNNNNNNNNNNNACACACUCCACUCAACUAUUGGAGCAGAGAAGAUGAUGACGAUGAUGAUGCAGAUUAGGCCACAUAUUGGCAUCUCACGUCUCAUGGUGGUGGUAGGAGCCGUGGUGCUGCUGCUGCUGCUGCAGGGGCGUCCGGCUGAGGCGCAGCCCUCUCCCGGCUACUACCCGAGCUCCAAGGUGAGCUCAAUGCCGUUCUCGCAGUGGUACACCAACCUGUGGGGCGCCCAGCACCAGUCCCUCUCCCCGGACCAGACCUCCCUCACCCUCUGGAUGGACCGCAGCUCAGGUCAGUAAUUUUUUUUUGCAUGAUUAAAUCAUACUUAGUGCUAGAUACAUUCAUUUGAGCAAUAAUGUUUUUGAGACGGAAGAAGUAUGUACUCGUGCUCAAGUCUGUGCAAUAGUUGGACAACCCAUUUCACCUAACAAAUCAUGCUGCUAAUUAAUUAAUUCGUCGUCCACUUCAGGGAGCGGGUUCAAGUCGAAGCGGGCGUACCGGAACGGCUACUUCGGCGUCUCCAUGAAGGUCCAGCCCGGCUACACCGCCGGCGUCAACACCGCCUUCUACGUUAGUACCUCUCCUCCUCCCCUCCGGCGACCAUUUUUUCCUCUUGGAUCCUUCUUAAUUAACUGACCCGGUGCAUGCGUGCAGCUGUCGAACAAUGAGGUGUACCCGGGGUACCACGACGAGAUCGACGUGGAGCUGCUGGGCACGGUCCCCGGCGAGCCCUACACGCUGCAGACCAACGUGUACGUCCGGGGUACCGGCGACGCCCACCCCAUCGUCGGCCGGGAGAUGCGGUUCCACCUCUGGUUCGACCCGGCCGCCGCCUUCCACCACUACGCCGUGCUCUGGAACCCCGACGAGAUCGUCUUCCUCGUCGACGACGUGCCCGUGCGCCGCUACCAGAAGAAGGUGGAGGCCACCUUCCCCGAGCGGGAGAUGUGGGCAUACGGCUCCGUCUGGGACGCCUCCGACUGGGCCACCGACGGCGGCCGCUACAGGUCCGACUACCGCUACCAGCCCUUCGUAUCCGGGUUCAAGGACUUCAAGGUCGCCGGCUGCGAGGUCGGCGCGCCCGCGUCGUGCGGCCCCGUGCCGGCCGGGCCCGGUGGCGGGCUGAGCUCGCAGCAGACCGCCGCCAUGAGCUGGGCGCAGCAGCGGGCCAUGGUCUACUACUACUGUCAGGAUAGCUCCAAGGACCGCUCCAACUACCCAGAGUGCUAGUCUGCUACCACUAUAUAUUUAGCUCUGAGCUCCGAGCUCGAGCCAGCGGCAAUGGCGGCUGCCCUUCCGUCCAAGUGAAGGUUGAGGCGUAUGUAUAUGGCCGGUAUACGAUGCAUAGUGUGAUCGAUAUUGUGAUUCGGGUAUGUAUGUGUGUGAGAUACUCUGAAGAGUGCGAGCAGGCUGAGACGUACGUGCUCUGUCUAAGUUAUUGAUAUUUGUGAGAUUACGAGUGUAGAUUGGACAUUUGGACUUGUAAUCUACAGCUUUUGGAUGCAGAGAAAAUGGUUUGAGCCGACACGACGGAGGUUUGCUAUUUUUAGUUUCAGUUGUUUCAAUUUUUUCUUCCCUCUCACUCGAUUUUUAAGACAUGUGCUUUUGGUUGCUGGAAGGAUUGCUUAAUUAUCUUUUUGUGCAAGACUUUUGAGUGAAGCAAGAGGUGGACCACGUGAUACUCGGGUAAGCAAUCCAAAUUUGAUGGGGAAAAAAAGCAAGUGGUGGAGUUGGAGGAGCCAUGUCCCUUUUCACUUGAAGCAUGCGAAGGGAUUGCGUGAGGGAAAGUAUCUAGUGCAAAUUAAGGGGUCUACUUCCCUUAUGCUUUUUAGUAGAGUUCCAAAUCAAUCUUUUUUAAAAAUAGCACAUAGACAUGACAUGAAUCCAUGGUGUCACAAUAAUUCAAACAUUGCUCCGAAAACAGAAUUUAGAAUUUUGCUGCCAGUAGCGACAAUGGGCCAAAUUCGAAGCCCAACUUACAUUAAACACUAUUUAGUGUUAGAGUUGUUGUUUUUUCUCUCGACUUGUGUUACGAAUUUUAAUUUGAAUUUGUGUGACAAUAUAGAUUCAUGUCAUCUCUGCGUGCUAACUUUUGUUCAUAGUUUUCUGAAAAACCUUCAAAAGCAUUUCUGUUAUUUCUUUUUGUGAUGUUAACAGUGGGUUGGUUACAUCAGCAACCCAUAUGAAAACCAAGCUUUUGUCAUUAAAAAACACGAAAAUCUCAUCUCAAUCAUCAUUUGUCGCUGCUUCUAAUUUAGGGGUAAGUUAUUUGGCUUGGACAUGAUAUUUAGUUCAUCUCUGCAUCUCAAAAUACUAACUAAUGAUAUUCCCCGCAUGUUCAAAGAUUUAGUUUAUGAAACUUGGUAAAUUUUAUUGUUCAUUUCUACUAGGUUCUAUAGUAGUUAUUAAACUUAGUGAAGUUUUAAAAACACGUCAAAAUGUAUUUCAAAUGGAUCUUAUUUCAAAGCCCUCGUCACAAGAAACAGAAUAUCCAAACAAAACUAAAUUUAGACUUUCGGUUCAAAAGAUAGAAAAGAUUCAAAUGCGAAAGCAAAAAAAAAGGAGUCGGCGCCCCCCGCCACCGCGUUCCUCAAAUCCUCUCUCCAAGACGAUCCCUUGUUUACAAGUAUUGGUGAAUCAGACAUAGCACUUUUAGUGUUCCUUCUCUCAGCAUGAAACCGUUUCAAAUUGCGGCGUAACAAUAGCAGCAAAGUAAUUGAAUCCAUAUGCUAGAACAAGAGUGGUGAAUGCAUGACUACCAUUAGUAAGGGUAUGGUAUCAAUCUCACAUUCGUACUUUUAAGCAUUGGUGAGCACUUGAAUAUCAUUGUUAAGAAAUCAUGCUCAUGAUCCUCUCUAGUGAAGCCAUGGAUUUCCACUUCUUCAAGACGUGUACAGAAGACACUUUGGCUUCUCCAAUUCUUGGGCACAUGACAAGGACAAUUUCCUUCGCAUGCUUUUCUCAACUAUAGGAAGUGAUGAGCAUGACAAUGUAUUAAUUAAUGACUCUGCACUAGCUUCUCAGUUCUGACCUUAUCACAUACAGCGUAGAGAAAUUGUGUCGACCAUGCAUUAUCUAUGUAUAAGAUGUAUAAGUACGGAGAAGAAUCACCUUGGAAACCCUUGGCAGGACGACCAUAAGCUUCUUCGUAGCGGCACGAAUCCGAUGCAUUCGAAGGAGUUGUAAUACAAGUGCUCCGUAAAGAUGGCAUGCCCGUUCAAAAUUUAGCUCCAACACAGAGAAAUUGGUGACUGGAAGUUUCUCCAUCUCCUCAGCAAUGUCCAUCUGUGGAUCCAAAUGAUUCUACGAACAAAUUGGAAAAAGAUAUCAUGCAUGCAUGCAGAGAACCAACUAAAGUUUGGUGCGUAAAUCUAUUACUAUUAGUUUGAAGUUUGAACUGAACAGAUAAGAAGCAAACCCCAUCAUUCAGGUUCAAGCGAAGCUCAUGUUCCCGAUUGUCUACGUCGCUCUUCUUUAUGGUAUGUACCCUCAUCUCCUGUAAACGCCAAGAGCCAUAAGAAAGAGGCACUGCAUAGCAGCUCCGCCAAAAGAACUCCUCUAGCACUUCCGGCGAGAUGGAGACACCGGUGUCCCUGCCGGCACAGAAAUUCAGAUCCAGUUGCUUAAGCACGGGAGCUACAAUGUCAAUGUUGUGACAUUCUAUCUGGACAUCCAAAUUCACAGUAAGUUUCUGCAGCGACGGGGCCGUGAUGUUGCCCGUAGCCGUGGCUAAGUUGAUCUUUAGCACGCGAAGGCGCGGGCAAAGCUUGACCAAGCUACCAACAUCGACAGUGCUCCAGCACCCAGUUAGGGACAGAUUCUCGAGCGCGAGGAACUCAUACAUCGGCAGCGAUGUGAAGCGUACGUGUUGCCAGCUCAUCUCGAUGGAGGUGGUAUGCCGGAAGCAGGGAAGGUGUGCAUUUAUCUGUUUGUUAGCACACACCAUGCUGAAGCUAUCAGCGAGGACGAACUCCUGCGGUGAGAGCCUCGAUGUGGUCUGGAGAAGAGAGGCGAAGGAAGCGGCAUUGACAUUGUCCUCCCAAGGAAUGCUGAUGUCGAGGAGGGACAAUGUGAGGCCAAGCGAUGCAGCUGCCUCUUCGAGCACGACGAGCACCGCUUUGAUGGAACGGAGCGGCAUCCCACGGAAGGUGGCACUGAGCAUGCGCAGACAUGGGCAUUGCUUGAGCAAGGUGCCAAGGUAAGCGAUGUUGCCGGAGAGGGACAACUUCUCGAGUCUGAGGAACGGUGGCAGCGUGAGCUCUUGUGAGUCGAGGUUGGUGACGCUGAGGCUGAGCACGCGCAGGCACUGGCAGCGGUUGAGCAAGUAGCCAAGGCCGGCGAUUUCUCCUGUGAGGGACAAACUCUCGAGCAUAGGGAACACGCUGUUCGCCGGCAGCGUGAUGGGGAUGGCAUGCUUGUGUGGGGAGGUGAUGCUGAGCGCACGCAGACGGGGGCAGCGGUUGAGCAGCGCGCCAAGGUUGAAGAUGUAGCCCGAGAGGGAAAGCCUCUCGAGCGAGGUGAACUCGUGAUCGCGGGUCGACGAUGGCACGAUUCGGACACGGGAGAAGCUAUAGAUGCCCAGCUCGAUGGAUGUGGUGCAGUCAAAACAGGGCAGCCUGAUGUCGGCCGACUCUCCCAUGUUCAUUAGACAGGUGAAGACUAGCUCCCUGGGCGAGAGACGUGCGGCGGCGCGCAGCAACGAACUGGCGAAUUUGGCAGUGUGUCCCGUUUGAAGGCAGAUGUUCAGGGUAGACAUUGCCGGUGUGGAAGCAGCGAAGCGGGCGAGCGCAGCUUUGAUCAUGGCGGGCUUCUCGAGGCCGCGGAAGGUGAGAUCGGCGAGGCCGGUCCAGAGGCCGCGCCAUCGGCGAGAGAGGAGGCCGGUCUGCACGGCGGUCCGGACGCAGCGUAGGCGUGCGAGGAUCAACAGAAGUAUCUCGUCGGGGAGGGCGCUGAUGAGAUCCAUGCACCGUUGCUGCGGCGGCGCCGAGUGCUGGAGAUAAUGCCCCGAUCGCACUUCCAUCGUGAGGAAGGAACACGUUUUUUUUUUUGAGCAUCACGUGAGGAAGGAACACGUGAAGCCCUGCAACUUAGAAUAAACACAUCGACCCCCAGGUUUUACGGCGUCACCCAGCCAAGCCCAAGAGAGCCCAACUAUGUCUAGUUCGUUGUGAACUCGUGAUAAAAUAGGGUUUUUUUUGCAAGGUUGAUAGAAUAGAAAUAUAGAAUAUGAACUUUUUCGGUUCCGUGAAACAGGGAGCACCGUGUGUACACACUACGACCAUAAAAAGGUUGUGUGCUACGAGGCCAAAGCAAAACAAAGUAAUGCUUAGAAAAAUAGUUCGUUUACAUCCAGAACUAUAUAAACUUGUGAUAGCAACGAGUGUAAUAGCUUAUCGAAAGCUCGAAGUAAAGUUUGUUUUGAGAAUAUAUUUUUCUUUAUGAUCCAGCAAAGUGUAACUGACUUCUUCACUUGGAGGAAAUGUUUGUGACGGAUUAUCCUGGGGCUUGAUGGAUAAAUGUUGUAACGUUGAGCUUGUUGGUGCUGCUGGUCGGUCUACAUGUUCAAAAUUCAUGUAGAGUCAUGUUUGUCUUGGAUUGAUGGACAGUUUGUUCACAUUGUUUGCUUUGUUCGUCGUUUUGCUUUGUCUGUUAUACAUGUUGUUCUUGCUAGAUUGUCUGCAAGUAAGUGAGGCUUUUAUGGGGAUUAUUCGGGUGUGAAAUAUUUUCCUGGAACCGUGUCGGAUGUGCUCUUGUGCUUGGUGUUUUAUCAGCUUCAUUCAGAAAAUGAAAUUGGGGAGGGGGGAUCAUGCACAACCCGGGAAUGUACGUGCUGCUGAAAUUUGAUGCAUUUCUUGAGGUAGCGUAUACAGCUGGGGUUAACCAAAGUGCAUGCCAAGCAAUGAUAUAAAAAUGCGGUCGUGCACCAACUCCAACCAUCGUUAAUUUCGCCCCACCUCCCCCCGCCCCCUGCGUGUGUGUCCUCCUCUCACCGUACUGUCGCCGCUGCCCGCCCACCCACCCGCUCCACAACCCCGCCGCAAGUUCCACCGCUCCUCCACUACCGCCCGCCUCGAAUCGAGCGUUUUUUCCAUCGAUCCUCCGCCGCCACCCGAUUUGCCACCGUCGUCGCCGCUCAUCCACCACCACCAAGCCACCGUCCAACUCCCACCCGUCGUUUUCCCCUACUGCCGCUCCCCGAUUCCAACUCUAGGCGUGGCCACCAACAUACUAGCCGUGUUGCCGCCACGCCACCGCCGCCGACAUAUCCUAGUCGCGUCACCACCGCACCGUCGCCACCAUGCCGCUGAAGAACCUCCCGAAGAGCAAGACAGGGUUCUUCGGCAUGCGGGCGAGGCCAUCUGACAAUUCAACAUUGAGUUCUCAGACGGCGCCCGUAGCUUCAGGCUCGGCACAUACCCUACCACCAACGAGGCCGCGCGGUCAUACGACGUGGCAGCAUGGCGUGCCUAGAGGCCAAGGACGGAGCUCGACUUCCAGCAGAUUGAGACCUGGGUGGGUGCGGAGUUCCUCGCACCCGAGGGCUUCUGUAUAGAGGAGAUGAUGAUGACGAAGAAGAAGCCGACAAUUUGUUUUUAUCCACGCGACAGCAAUGAGCCAGCAAUGGCGAGGUUCGCGCGGGAGCAACCAGAAUAUCUCCAGGAUGAAUGUGAGUUCUACUGGAAGCGCGAUGCCGAGCGGAAAAAGAAGAGGGUGAAGUAGGUAGCUCUGACUUAGAUUUAACUAUGAAUGUGUGUAAUGUGCUUAAAACAGCAUGUGUUUGGAAACUUUAUUCGACGGCGAAUUCAGUGAUAUAUUUGUUGCGGCAUAUGACAAUUUUGCACGGACAUAUGGCAAUUUUGCACUCGUUAAAUGACGACGUAAUAGCCCAUCUCGGUUUAUAAAGCCAGAUGCAUCAAAUUAACAACCUAGCACCUGCCUCGAUUUGAAAACCCAGAUACAUGAAAUCGACGACCUAAAAUCUGUCCUGCUUAUAAUUAUAAACCCAGAUAGAGUUAGUAAAAGAAUCAUGUACUCCCUCUGUAAAACUAAUAUAAACGGUCUUUACAGAGGGAGUACUCAAUAGGUAUUCUUAGUUCGUCAUGCUAUUUUAUAUAAAACCCCUUGAUAUUUCUUACAUUAAACCCGCAGUAGAUAUCAAAUAUUUUUUUAUCUAUAUCUUCUUCUUUCUUCUUCUAUCUAUUCUUCUUCUAUCUAUUCUUCUUCUCUUCUCUAUUUUCUAUCUUCUCUUCUAUCUUCUCUACUUCUCUAUUAAUAAAAUAAAUAGGUAUUCUUAGUCCGUCAUGCUAUUUUAUAGAAAACCUCCUGAUUUUUUCUGACAUUAAACCCGCAGUAGAUAUCAAAUAUUUUUUUUAAAUACUCAUAUCUUCUUAACCAUAACUCCAAAUUUAACAUGUUAUAUAUGAAUUUUGAUUAGAAAAAUAUGUAGAAUCUGAAUAUAUAUGUUGUUAUUUUACGAGUUAACAAUUUAAGAAAAUACAAUCUAAGUUAGUGAUUAUGGUGCAAUCUUAAUCAAUAAUGCAUUAUCCGUCUUUCUUUCAUACCGGUAGUGAUUCGGAUAGGGGAUGAACAUGUUGAAAUAGAAUACAUGUGGAAUCUUGAACUACGCUUUUCUAGGCUAAUACCACAUUUGUUUGAGUCGUAGCUACAAAUUCUCAGAUUAUAGACCAUUUUUCAUGAAUUAAGAGCGUGUGGUAUUUUUUUUUCUCCCGUUGCAACGCACGGGCCUUUUUGCUAGUACAUAUCAAAGCAGAAGCAGCCUACGGAGCGGUUCAGUGCCGGCGGGUGUUGCGCCGUUGCUCGUGCAUCUCCACACAGCAGCACAGAGAAACAAAGAUGACGACGAUCGCCAAGAGGAACGGCCACAGCUCCCGCGGGGCACCAGCCUGGGAAGAUGCAGAAGCAGCUGUUGCAGGGUAUCGGCAAGUACCGGAGCCUGCAAGAUCAAGAUGCAAUUUGUAACCAUCAAUGGAGUUGUACAUGCACAUCCACCUGAGAUCCAAGGAAGAUGGCAGAGCUAGCGAUCGAAGCACGAGGCUUACUGGGGUCUGUGGAGGUGAGGGUGGCGGUGCCGCCGAAGUCACAGGUGGCGCCGCCGCCGUUGGCCUUGGCGUUGUGGUAGUAGCUGUUGGCGGCGUAGGAGCAGCGCGUCGCCACCGUGUCCGUGCCGGAGUGGCACUGCCCGCCGGGGAGCAGCGGGGCGCAGUCGGCGCCGUGGCCGCACGCGUAGUCCAGCGUCCUCUGCAGCGCCGCCGCCGGCAGCUCUGGCUUGCACACGCACCAGCUGCUACCUGCAGCCGACGACGCUUCCGUCGACAAGGCGAACACCACCAAGAGCAGGAAGAUCCAGAGGGCUGAAGUCGCCGCCAUGGAUGAGGGAUCGGUUCUGCUUCUGUUGAUUAUGUAGUGUACGGGCUCGAACAAGUUGCCUAUCCGUAGUACCUGCUCAGGGUCAGAUUCAAUCUACAACGAGGGCUCAGAGUCCAAGCACAUACUAAUGGAUUGAUUUAUUUGGAAAGAACACAAUUCUGAAACAAUAUACAACUCGAUCACGGCCAGGGUAUGCCAAUUUGAGCUGGAAAAACCUUCCGGUCAGAAAUCAUCCUUACAUGUUUAGAUGUGAGAUACGCCCCCUGUAAAGUAAUAAAAAACAUGUUUAGAUAUGAGAUACGCCUUCUGUAAAGUAAUAUUUUUUAGAUCACUACUUUAAUGAUCUAUAUGUGUAUACGUGUGAACAAUAUAGCUAGAAAUGUAUUGUGUACAUCCAAGGCAAAAAAUAGCACGUCCCCUUAAAAUACGCUAUUAAUGUGCAAGAGCGCGUCAUAGCAUUCCAUUAGCGAGGCAUUAUAUAUGAUUUAUUUAGUGAGAUAAUUUCCUACACGCUAUAGCACGCUAUUUUCUUUCAGUGUGUACAUCACAGUAAUAACAUGAACUGUGUACAUCACACAGUACAAUGCAUGCAUUUUAAAAAAAUCGUAAAAUUGCUAUCAGUGAGGGCAGAACUAAGGGUCUGCCACUGGUGCAUCAUCUAGUAGUGGCGGGCAAGUUGUUAUGCCCGCCACUGGUGGCAUAUUAUGAGUGGCGAGAGAUCAGUGGUUGGCCUGCCUGGGCCCAAAGCCCGCCACUGCUAGCCAUUCCUGCGGUAGUGUGUGGUGUAACCUCUAAAUGUAAUUCUCUUGGAAAUGUCAUGUUUAAAUUUAAUGAAAGAUAUUGACAAGAACGUUAUAUAUGUCUCAACAGAAUACUUCUGGGUAACAUGUUCAAAGUCACCGUAUCAGUUUAAGUUUUGUUAUUUCUGAUAACAACAAGUAAUUAAAUGUAACAAUUAACAAACAUAAGUACAUCUCCGUCAUUUAAUUUUGUUGCAUCAAGGAGCAUGCUAACCAGAUGCAUGCGGAUCCAGUUCACCCUAUCUAAAAUCACCAUAGCAAUUCACCGAAGGAUGUGCCAAGAAAAUGUUGUGCAAUUUCGUAGUGCAGCCUUUAAAUGUGCAUGCAAGUCUCACGGUCAUUCUUUUAAGCUUUGGCGAGCAUUUGAAAAUCAGUUUUAAGAAAUCAUGCUCGUGAUCCCGUCCUUCAAGGUCGUGGAUCUCCACUUCUUCAAGACGUGUGCAGAAGUCACUUUGGCAGCUCCAGUUCUCUGGCUUAUAGCCAAAACAAUCUCCUAGACAUGCUUGGCUUCUCCCCUAAAGAAAAUGAUGAGCAUGACAAUCCAUUAUUUACACGUGCUACCUUCUCGGUUGAAACCAAAAUUGCAUAGAGAAAAUUGAUGGAACAUGAACCGUGUAUGUAAGAUGUAUAAGCAUGGUAGAGAAAUACCUUGGACCAACAUGGUAAGACGACCUUGAGCCUUUUUGUAGUGGCACGAAUUCGACGCAUUCGAAGCAGAUGCAGCACAAGGGCUCCGUAAACAUGUGAAUAUGAUUCAAAAUUUAGCUCCAACACAGAGAAGUUGGUAACCGGUAGUUUCUCCAUCUCUUGUGCAAAAUCCAGCUGUGCAUCCGAAUAAUUCUGUGAUACAGGAUGGGAGGGGGGAGGGGUCAGAAUAUCAUGCAUAAAACUAAUUAAAAUUAAGACAGUAAAUCCAAUAUAUAGUGCAUUGACCUGGAAGAGACAAGAGACGUACACUGGAAUAUAGCUGCAAGCUUAGGACAUGAAAGCGUGGAAGCUGCUGCAUUUGAGAAUGCGAGUCUUCCCAGUUGUCUACAUGGCUUCUCUCUAUCGUCUCUACCCUCAUCCUCUCGAGCCACCAACAACCAAAAACAAGAGGCAACCCUGUAUACCAUCGCUGCCACAAGACCUUCUCUACUACCGGUGCCGAGAUGAACACACCGAUGUUUCCCCCGGCACGAACCUUCAGCUGCAGUUGUUUAAGCAUAGGAGUUACUAUGUCGAUGCCGCGACACCCCGUGUCGAUAUCUCUAUCGAUAUCAAGCUCCUGCAGCAAUGCCGAGUGGACUAUGAUGUUUCCCGCUACAGUUGCCUUUAGUGUGCGCAGGCGUGGGCAACAGGUGACCAUGGUGCCAAUGUCCAGGACCCUGCAUUUUCCUGAUAGGGAUAACAUCUCGAGCGCAGAGAACUCGCUGGUCGGUUGCACUGUGAAGGAUAUGUUGUAGUGCAAGUCCAUCAUGAUUGAAGUUGCACGGUGAAAACAUGGCAGGUCGAUAGUGACGUGUCCGUAUAUCUCAUGAGUGACGACGACCUCUUGUGGCGAUAGUCUCGCCGCCGAGCAAUAGCUGCCGCGAAUCCAGGUCGGUAACGCUGAGCUCGCGCAGCACCUGGCAGCGGUGUAGCAAGGCGCCAAAGUCGAUGUUGUUGCCGGAUAGGGACAAUCUCUUGAGCGAGGUGAACUCGCCGGGCCGCCACACGAACACGGAAUCGUUGCGUGUCCAGUUUGAUGGAGGUGGUGCAGUUGAAACAUGGCAGCUCGAUCAUGUCGUCCAAGUCUCCCAUGUAUGACGACCAGAGGGUGAAGACCAGCUCCCUCGGCGAGAGCCGUGCGGCGGCGCGCAGCAGCAAGUUGGCGUCGUAGGCGGUCUCUCUCGUUUGAAGGUGGAUGCCGAGCGUGGACACCGGUGUUGAAGCUGCAGCCAGUCGGGCCAGCACCGCUUUGAUCGUGGCGGGAUCGAUGUAGCGGAAGGUGAGAUCGGUGACACCGGUCCAGAGAUCGCGCCACCGACGUGAGAGGAGGCUGGUCUGCACGGCGGCGCGGACGCAACGUAGGCGAACAAGGACUAGGAGAAGCAUCUCGUCGGGGAGGGCGCUGAUGAGGUCGGCUCCUCCGUAUAAACCACGCCGGGAAGGAGCUCCAAGCGGCGGCGGCGGCGAGCGCCUGAGACGACGCCCCGAUUGCAGUUCCAUCCAAGCGACAAUGUAAACCCCUUCUGGCCUCCUCUACUACUCCGUCUUGUUUUUUAAGGGCUCUAUAUUUUUUUUUCCUGAGGCCUAUCUACAACUGCGUCUAAUCUAAGGAAAGGGAACAAAACAGGUAAAAAAAAAACUGCUCCUAGCGAGGAGCCCAGGCCCAUCAUAUGAUGACCGGACGUAACCACAAAUCUUCAUGUGCCUCCUUCCCCCGCCAGCUCCGCAGUACUCCUUCUCCCGCCAGCUCCGCAGUACUCCACAAAUCUUCAUAUUUUUGCGGUUGCCUUCCCCUCCGACUCAGAGGACGAGCUCAUCCGCGGCAUCAUCCGCCGGCCGCGGACCAUGGUUUUCACUUUCAGUGAGAUUUCGGUGAAAUUCGCUGAAUUUCAGUAAUUUCAGCAAACACUGAAAUAUUACAUUUCGGCCAAAAUAUUUCAGCAAUUUCAGUAUAGCACAACAAUUCCAAUAUUUUUCGAAAUACUUUUUAAAAAAUUCAAAUUUUUUAUUGAAUUCAAGUGAAUAUUUCAGUCAUUUGGCUGAAAUGGAAACUGAAAUCACUGAAAUUCACUGAAUUUCAGUGAUUUCGGUUGAUGCUGAAAUUUUUCUGAAACUGAAAUUGGAAACCAUGCCGCGGACCAUAUCCGAUAUGGACACUUGCCACCGGCACCGCAAAAAUGCCAAGUCAAUGCAUUUGACCCAUGCCAAGUCUAAGUUACUCUCCAUUAUGACGAGCCUUAGUAAAAGUCCGACCCAUGCAUAUGAUGUUGACCUCUUUUUAACAAGAACAAUACAAACAAUACAUGUAGCUUGUUACAGCGUGAAGGAGCAGUAAAAACAUAUUGUAACAUGACACAAUACACCACCACUGUCGGUCCAUGCAAGGAUAGAGGACCAGUGAUGCGUGAUAGAAACUAUUGUGGAAGGAAAAGAAGAACAUUAAAGAGUGGAUUACACGGUGGUAAAUAAGCUCCGAAGUAACACCCAUGCAUCUGGCCGGCAAUGUUUGCCGAGAGUCUGGUCAGGGAGUCUAAACUGGAGGGGGCUCGCACAAGUUCUUGCAGGCGACCUGGCAAGGGGUGAACAACUGGUUCACGCACGUCUGGCCCAACGCUGGAGUGAGGGCGCAAAGCACGAUGCACGAGGACGUGGGCAUAGCCCAGUGGUUGGGGGCGCAUGAUUGUAAACCUAACGACCAGAGUUCGAUUCACGUCGGGGACGAAUUUCUGGAAUUCUCAUGAGGGAUGCUUCUUCUAUAUCAAUAAAACCGUGGGUGCUAGUGCCCAUGGAGUUUCAUUUUUUUGCAAAGCACGAUGCACAUCUUCUCCGCGAAGGCGUUGCAUGCAGGUACGCAUGCUGUACGGCAUGGUGUCUCCGCACUAGGGCAAGCUAACGGUUGCCCAUCGACGUAGGCCAUCGCCGGCUGCCCCGCGGCAGACAUGAGGAUGACCACCAGCACCGCGUAGAUGGUUGCCAUCUUAAGCGCAGAUGCAGCCAUUGGUCGUACCUCGGGCCAAGGAAUGGCUUAGCUAGGAAGACGGUGCAAGAUCGACAGGGAAGUGAGAAUGUGUAGGUGGUGCCCAGAUGAGAGCAGGACAAUGCUCUUUUUAUAGGCUACCAACGCACAUGGAACUGGAAUCAUGGAGUAUGGGUGUAUAUGCAGUAUCAUGCACCUUCGUGUUGACUUCAUCAUUUCAAGUGGACCGUGCAAUUCAUUUGUGGCCGCUACCUCACUCAUUAACCUCUAUUCUAAUACAUGUAGUAUCGAGUUGUCAGCCACAAUCGAAUCAUGCAUUCACCGGAUCUUACUCUUUUAUGAUUUUCUCUGAUCUUUACUUGAUCUGCAGUAUUAAUCAAAUCAAGAGGACAUAUCAGUUGCUCAGGCACAUGGUGCUGGAUAUGUAGCGUUUCAAUCCUUCUUUUUCUUUCUUUUUUUCCAGAAGGAGAGUUCCAGUUUUAGAAGGUGGCUAGAUGGGAAGUUACCAACCUAGUCCAAUGAAAAGAAUAGCGCACUAAAGAAAAAUAACGGCACCCCUAAAAUAUGCUACUAGCGUGCUAUAUCUUGAUGUAGCAUGCUAUUUGUGGUGCUAUAGUGUACUAGUUUUUUUCUAUAUCGCAGUCCGAUAAAUCCAGGGAUUUAUUGCUAACUCACCCUGUAUCAAACCCAUCAACCGUCGCGCAAGGGAUGUCCUCUCACGCUAGCCACGUCAUCACAAGAAGACGAAAAAACAAGUUAGCGAUUGGGUGGGCAGAAAAGAAAAGAGCGAGACAAAAAGAUCAGGCUCGACGCCUCCCCACGUACACCAACACAGCCGCCGCCUCCUGUGCUCAUUUCUCUCAGCGUCGCCAGAUCUGGGGGAGCCAUCGGGAGGAGAACCACGAGCAUGAGAGACCACGGCCGUGGCAGCAGCAGCAUCUCCGAUCAGAUCCGGCGCUCAGCUCAGUUGCCACCCUUUUCUCUUGUCUACGAGGCCGACACAUCAAGAUCAAGCAGGCCAGGCGGCGGCGCUCCCAGAUCCGCGCCGUGAUGUUCAAAUUUCUGGAUUUUCCUUAAAGUAUUUUCUCAUAAAAAUAAUUAAGUUCUGCAUUAGCUACAGAGCACAAAGAUGACUGCAUCUUUUAUCGAGGAAGAAACUAAUAGUACUAAUUGCUAGCGCAGUAAGGUAUGGCGCUAGUCAUAGUGGCAGUAACUUAGCUAGUAACAUAACGCAUAACAAGACAAAUUUGGUUAUGUGACAAGCAAUUAAUGAGCAAAGAGAGGUUUGGGGGUACCGUAACAUAACCUAACCCGAGACAAGAUGCUACGUCUAAAUAAAUGAAGGCUUGCAUGACACAAACCUUAUUACUACCCACUAUGGAGGUAGUAAUAUAGGCUAGUAACAUAUGCAUGUUACUAGUCUAAGUUAUUCCCCAUAAUGACUAGUCUUAGUAAAAGUCCGCCCCAUGCAUUUGAUGUUGAGCUCAAUUUAACAAGAACAAUACAUGUACUCCCUCUGCCCAGUGAAAAGGGUACAUCUAGCUUCAAAAUUUGUCCACAAAAAGUGUAUUUCUAUCUUAUCGAUGCACUUUAAAGUAGAAAAUUUACUUCUCUCUCAUCACACGGUAAUCAAGACCAAUAAUAAUCAAUAUAUGAUCUUCUUAAUUUCUACAUGCAGUUAUCAUUGGAGGUGGGUAAUUAAAGAGGAGAGAGAUGGUGGCUUGUAGCUUUUCAAUACAUCUUUACUUAACUUCAUAAUUUGUCUUAAAAUUUGUAAAUGUACACUCUUUACCGGACGAAGGGAGUAACUUGUUACAGCAUAAAGGAGCAGUAAAAAUAUACUUUAACGUGACACAAUACAGCGCCACCGUCGAUCCAUGCAAGGAUAGACGACCAGUGAUGCGUGAGAGAAACUAUUGUGGAUGGAAAAGGAAAAAAUUAAAGAGUUGAUUGCACGAUGGUUACCAACACACAUGGAACUGGAAUCAUGGAGUAUGUGUAUAUGCAGUAUCAUGCACCUUCGUGUUGACUUCAUCAUUUCAAGUGGACCGUGGUGGCCGCAACCUCACUCAUUAACCUCUAUUCUAAUUCAUGUAGUACAGAGUUGUCAGCCACAAUCGAAUCAUGCAUGCAUUCACCGGAUCUUAGUUCCUCUUUUAUGAUUUUCCCAGAUCUUUACUCGAUCUGCAAUAUUAAUCAAAUCAAGAGAAGAUAUCAGUUGCUCAGGCACAUGGUGCUGGAUAUGUAACGUUUAAUCCCUUCUUUUUUUUCUUAUCACGUUUCAUUCCUUGUUUUUUUCUUUUUUGCGAGAAGGAGCGUUUCAGUUUUAGAAGGUAGCUAGAUGGGAAGUUACCAACCUACUACAGGAAAAUAAUGGCACCCCAAAAAUAUGCUACUAGCAUCAAUGUCAAGUGUAGAAUUCGAAUCAUGGUGGGUCGGGGUUACCAUUAUCCUCUUAACCAUCCAACCACAAGUUGAUUCUCCGCUCCGAUCCUUAUUACUUUUCGCUCAAAUGGAUGUACCUGAAUGUAUUCUAGAGCUAGAUACAUACAUUUGAGCGACAAGUAAUGUGCAUCGGAGAGGGUAUCCCUUUUAUUCAAGAUAAUUAUUAUUUUAUUUUCAACUAGAAAUGUUUUUAUUACGAGUUCAAGGUCCGCCCCUUCUGUGAUGGUUAGGUUUUCAGCUAGAAAGCUUGUCGUGCUUCUGAGGAUGGCGGCGGCAAGGCGUUUGUCACUCGAGGGACUCACCGUGUUGUGCUGGCAGGUGUGAGGGUGUGCCUCUUCCACCCUGGUCCUAGCAUGCGCCGGUUUUCAUGGAGGGAAAGGCUUGGCAUAUUGUCUUAAGGUGGUGGUGGUUGUUGGAAAUAUGCCCUAGAGGCAAUAAUAAAUUAGUUAUUAUUAUAUUUCCUUGUUCAUGAUAAUCGUUUAUUAUCCAUGCUAUAAUUGUAUUGAUAGGAAACUCAGAUACAUGUGUGGGUACAUAGACAACACCAUAUCCCUAGUAAGCCUCUAGAUGACUAGCUCGUUGAUCAAUAGAUGGUUACGGUUUCCUGACCAUGGACAUUGGAUGUCGUUGAUAACGGGAUCACAUCAUUAGGAGAAUGAUGUGAUGGACAAGACCCAAUCCUAAGCCUAGCACAAGAUCGUGUAGUUCGUAUGCUAAAGCUUUUCUAAAUGUCAAGUAUCUUUUCCUUAGACCAUGAGAUUGUGCAACUCCCGGAUACCGUAGGAAUGAUUUGGGUGUACCAAACGUCACAACAUAACUGGGUGGCUAUAAAGGUGCACUAUGGGUAUCUCCGAAAGUGUCUGUUGGGUUGGCACGAAUCGAGACUGGGAUUUGUCACUCCGUGUGACGGAGAGGUAUCUCUGGGCCCACUCGGUAGGACAUCAUCAUAAUGUGCACAAUGUGACCAAGGGGUUGAUCACGGGAUGAUGUGUUACGGAAUGAGUAAAGAGACUUGCCGGUAACGAGAUUGAAUAAGGUAUCGGGAUACCGACGAUCGAAUCUCGGGAAAGUACAAUACCGCUAGACAAAGGGAAUUGUAUACAGGAUUGAUCGAAUCCUCGGCAUCGUGGUCAUCCGAUGAGAUCAUCGUGUAACAUGUGGGAACCAACAUGGGUAUCCAGAUCCCGCUGUUGGUUAUUGACCGGAGAACGUCUCGGUCAUGUCUGCAUGGUUCCCGAACCCGUAGGGUCUACACACUUAAGGUUCGAUGACGCUAGGGUUAUAAAGGAAGUUUGUAUGUGGUUACCGAAUGUUGUUCGGAGUCUCGGAUGAGAUCCCGGACAUCACGAGGAGUUCUGGAAUGGUCCGGAGGUAAAGAAUUAUAUAUGGGAAGUCCUGUUUUGGUCACCGGAAAAGUUUCGGGUUUUAUCGGUAAUGUACCGGGACCACCGGGAGGGUCCCGGGGGUCCACCAAGUGGGGCCACCAGCCCCGGAGGGCUGCAUGGGCCAAGUGUGGGAGGGGACCAGUCCCAGGUGGGCUGGUGCCCCCCCCCCCACAAGGGCCCAAGGCGCCUAGGGUUUGGGGAGGGGGCGCCUCCACCUAGCUUGGGGGGCAAGUUUCCCCCCCCCCUUGGCCGCCACCCCAGAUGGGUUUGGGGCUGCCGCACCCCUUGGGGUGGAAACCCUAGAGGGGGCGCACCCCCCUCCCUCUCCCCUAUAUAUACUUGAGGACUUUGGGGCUGCCAACACAUGAGUUUUGACCUCUCCAUGGCGCAGCCCUGCUUCUCUCCCUCCUCCUCUCCCGCGGUGCUUGGCGAAGCCCUGCAGGAUUGCCACGCUCCUCCACCACCACCACGCUGUUGUGCUGCUGCAGGACGAAGUCUUCCUCAACCUCUCCCUCUCUCCUUGCUGGAUCAAGGCAUGGGAGACGUCACCGGGCUGUACGUGUGUCGAACGCGGAGGUGCCGUCCGUUCGGCACUAGGAUCUGCGGUGAUUUGGAUCACGACGAGUACGACUCCUUCAACCCCGUUCACUUGAACGCUUCCGCUUAGCGAUCUACAAGGGUAUGUAGAUGCACUCUCCUUCCUCUCGUUGCUAGUUUCUCCUUAGAUAGAUCUUGGUGACACGUAGGAAAAUUUUGAAUUUCUGCUACGUUCCCCAACAGUGGUCGCAUGAGGGUGCUCGGCGGUUCUGGAUUAGUCUCGGGCUCGGGCCGGACAGAUCUAGGGUUGGUACGACAAUAAGGGCGAUGAUAUUGUGGUAGGCGCAUAUGACGGUGAUUCUCGUGGGCAUUCGCUUUCUUCUUGAAGGCGUCGUUGCGGCGGCAUGAUAGCUUCUUCACUUCGGGAGGGGGAGCCUCAGAUCCUCUAGGGGGUCGAACAAUGACGCAACCAAUGUGUCACACCUAUAUAAUGGGGCAUCAGUUUAGGAGUGGCUAGAGGUGGUAGGAUGGUGUUUGGCAAACGAGAUAUGAGUUCUCGAUCAUGUGGUGGGUACGGGCCUGGCCUUUUUCAUUUGAAGCCAGGUUGGCGAGUGUGAUCCUUCUUGGAUUACGUUGGUCCCAUACGACACUAGUCCCUCUCUCUAAAGGGUGUUGUCGGGUGACAACCGGACAGUCAAGCUAAAGGCGCCGGCAUUGCUUUGGUUAUAUGGUGAUGAAAGCCGAAGACCUCCUUGCCCUUGUUGCUGUGGUGUCUGUUGUGUGUUUGAGUGCUGACUCUGAACUUUCUAACGUGUUCUUCUUCAUCAUCAAUAAAAUACUACAACACAAUUUCUUUUUCCAGGAAGAAAAGGAGAAGGCUUGGGGUUCUGAACAACAAGCAAUCCUUGAAUUUCAGUUUCAUCACACUUCACACUACUUGAUAACAUAGUUUUUCAUAAUUUGGACUGCUUUUAAUUACGUAUCACUUUGGGAGACGAAGCAGCAUACAACUUGAUAUGUUUAUUAAGAGGACAUCGAGCACGAGACGACACACACGACCACAACGCCUUAUUACAGUGAGGCACGCACGUACGUAGACGUGCAGUACCGUAGAUAACGAGUCCCUGGAGAGCCUUAAUUAUAGGAGCUACGCUCAUUCUUGAAGGCAUGGCGAUAGGUGAGGUGAUACAUCACACACAUUAUAGUAGCAAGCAUCAUCAUAGUUAUUUAACCCAUUAGUGUUCGACUAUCUCGAUACGGUCGAUGAGUAGCCGAUUACUAGAUAGUAGUCGUCGAUUGCAGCAGCGACAAGCGACGAUGAACCCACACACGGGUUCUACAUGCAGAAGGGCUCACAGUUGAUGUCAAACUUGCAAGCAGAAGACAUCUGGGGCUCCUGCGAAGUUAACCACCAAUCGUGUAUAUAUAUAUGUGAGUAAACAUUUGCCGUCAUUGGUUGUGGAGCAAGAAAAUGUGAUGGGCUCACUACUCACCUCCACGCCGCUGAAGUUGGCGACCUUGCGGAUGGAGCAACCAACAGGGCCCUGCAGGCUGCAGUUGCCGGCGCCGGCGCGCAUGGUGGUCCUCAUGGAGGUGAGCAGGUGGCCAUAGGUGGUACGGGGCUCGCACUCGAGUGCCUUGAUGAAGCUGUGCGUCAGGGCACCGAUCGUGGCAUUGGGCUCAGGCAGCUGCACGCUCGCACGCACGAAUUAGCUACAUAAAUAUAUGCAUAUUGAAAAGAAAAAGCAACAAGGGAUUAUGCAUAUGGAUGCCGACCACGCUCAUCUGGGUCUUCCCGUUGCUGCUGCCACUGAUGAGCACGGCCUUGCCUCCGCUGGUGCCUUUGCAGGCGCCAUUCAGAGGGCGCUCGUCCAUCCACCUCAAGCACCCGUACCUGAAUUAAUUCGAAUUUCCGUUGCAGAAAUACUUCAGCCUCUACGAGUUGGUCAAAGGACUGAAAAGUUCACUUCAAAUUUCCCCAAAUAUUUUAAAAUUUAUUUGAUUUCUUUUGUGCAACUGAAAGUCUACAAAUAUUUUGAUCAAGAGGUAAAAUUUUUGGUUUCCACUAAAAUUAUUGAAAUUCAGUGGAUUUCAUUGACAUCCCACUGAAAAUGAAAACCUGAUGAAGGCAUGAAACAACUAGCGGAUGGCUUAUUAAGUACUAGAUGCAAGGGGAUAUGUAUGGGAGGGAUGGAGGUUAGGGCAUCUAUACUUAAAGUGCGAAAAAUGCUACCUAUCCUACUUUACUAAAUUUGGUGAUUUUUCUAGCAGAUUUUUAGGGAGUGCAAAACUCAAAUUUGAAUAAAAUUUGGGUUUAGGGGAUCUCCUAGUUGGUGUGUAUUUAUUUUACUCAAAAGCACUUUUGCUUCUCAAGCUUGAAUUUUAGGGGAUCCACUAGAGAUGCCCUUAGUUAGUCAGUUACUCACUGCUUGGAGAAGGUGCACCGGUAUGGGAGAUCGAGGACGGUGGCACUGUGGCAGGCGUCGACGAUGGCGUGGAGCUUGACGCCGUGCACCAGGGGGCGGACGAUGGCCUGGUUGAUCUCGUCGUCCAGGAUGGGGCCCUGCUGGAACGAGUCCACGGGACAGAUGGCCUCGUCCAUGCCGUCCCGCUCGUCGCCGUCGCAGUCGGGGACCUGCGCGCCGGCGCCGGAGAACUGGAACACGAGGGAGUCGCCGGAGCUGCACCCCUGCACCAGCCAGUGCAUAGCCAUGCGGAUGUUGGCCUUGGUCGGCUGCCUGCACGGGUCCCUCUCCUCAUCUGCAGCAAGUAACAAACACGGACACGGGUAAGCUCAAACAAAUCAGCUGCUGCUCAUGCCAUGACUGAAAAAUCUUGGUCGAUGUAUAAAUUACCGGUGAGGAUGAGGACGCAGUCGUUGGCGAAGCCGAAGCGCUCGGUGAGGAGGUACCUCAUGCACUUGACGUCGUUGAUGGGGCCCCUCAGCUCGCAGGCGCGAGUGUUGGUGUACUUGAUCCCCACCAGCACGGCGCGCUUCUUGCCGCGGCCACCGCCGAAGUUGGGGAUGGGGCGCACCACACUGAGCUGUCGGCCAGCCCCGCCGACGCGGGUCACGCAGCAGCACUGCGCGCACUGGACGGCACGGGCACCGGGCGGCGCCGCGACGCUGGCGCUGCACUGCCUGCAGCGCACCAUCGUCGCCGGAGCGGGACCGCUUCCGCAGUUCAUGGCUACCGAGCGCCGCAUGACCUGCUGGGUGGGUGGUGGUGAGCGCUGCUUGCUUGCUUGCUUGCUUGCACUGCCUCUGCCUCUCGCUCCUUCCCGCCCUUUAUAUAGCACCUGGAUGAUGGAAGCUAUGCACGUUGAUGCUGGCCCACUAGGAUUUAUAUAUUCAAGUAUUCUGUCUCAGAAAAUAAAGGUUUUCUUUAGUGGAAAUGGGCAUAUAUUGUUGUCGAUGGAACAUUUUUCUUGGCUUUUUCAAGAGAACGCCAUUGAUGCUCUGCAUAUCCUCCAAACCACAAGUGGAAAUGGGUACGUGAUUCUUUAUUGCUAUAAAAUUAUUGUAUGUUCUUCUUUUGUGGGAUUCUUUUCUUUUCCUUUUGGGGAAAUUCGCACAUGUCUUCCAUAAAAUAGUUACCACAUGACUCUCUGCCAAAAAAUGUUACAUACAACGAAAGCCCUUAAGCUUAGCGUAAUCAAGAUUUGUGUACAUGGUGUAUUUACGGUUAAAUAGCACUCCAUCUCUGCGCUAUAAACGUGUGGAGGGUUAUCACAUUAAGCCGUUUAGCACCAUUUACCACGCGAUCACUAGUAGAAAACAGGGCAUUUGUCCCGGUUCGUAAGGGCCUUUAGUCCCGGUUCAUGAACCGGGACUAAUGAGUCGUUAUUAAUACCUCCCCCCUUUAGUCAAGCCCACGUGGCCGGUGCGCCAAGCCCAGGCAGGGGGAACUUUGAUCCCGGUUGGUGCUAGCAUCCACGCGUCAGCAUUCUAGCGGCUGGGGUUUUUGUUUUUUUUGAAGGGGAGGGGGGGGGGUUGGGGGUUUUGGGGGGUUAAUUUAGGUGUUUCAUAUAUUGUAUUAGCUAGCUAAUUAAUAGAGAGAAGUGCCCUCUUUUAUGUCCGUGCUUGGUCGACGCUACGUACUAUAUACAUAAGUGAUCGAGAGAACCAUUGAGUCCAGAAGUUCGUCAUGCAUAUUGAGAAAAGUGAUCGAUCGACCUCUCCUUCUCCGAGAGAUUGGUCGAACAACAAGUUUUUGUAUCAUGUAUCCGACGCUACUUGCUACAUACAUGUACAAUAUGUAUAUGAUCUCUUAAUUACAAUCCCCUAGCAAUUGAAAUCAACUUCCACAUGGUAUUCUCCGGCUUUAUUGAUGACAUGGUCAAGAAAGAAUCCCGCCAAUUCCUCUUGAAUUGCUUUCAUGCGAUUUGGUUCUAGGAGUUCAUUCCGCAUUUGCCACGUCUAACUCGAAGAAGGGGGUUAAUUAAUACAUAUAUAUGAAUGAAACUCAAUAGAAAUGAUAGUGUAAUAAAAUGAAAUUGUGAAUAUUAUUGCUUACGCACUUCAUAUUGUCUUUUAGAGUAGCCCCGCUUGUUUUUUAAAGUCGCGUUGUGGAUGAACUCGCACACGUAGUAUCCACAGAAAUCAUUCCCUUGUUCCUGCCACAAGCACUUUACGAGAAAUAGAGGUCAAUCAAACUGAUAAUGAAGCAUUAUAAAUGGCAUUGAUGAAAGUAUAGCUAUAGGAUCAACGGGAGAUGCGCGCAACUAGCUAGCCAGUAGUACUUACUUUCGGGUAUGUAUAUCGCAGCUCCUUUGGCAGUCCCGGAGCUUCUGCGGUGUACUGUUUCCAAACCCUGAAAGACAAAGAAAAUAAUUAUUAUUACUUGAGAUAUCAGGAAAUGAACAAAGAGUUGCCGAUAUGGUGCGAUAAUGAUCGAUUGAACUUACUUGUUGAGCAAUUCAGUCAUGUCCGCAUAGGUUUCGGGAUCUUUCCGUCUCGAGUCUAAGACGGUUACUAGUCCCCGCUCAAGCUUAAUCUCCAAAAGAACAUAGUGGUACCUGCGCACGCAUGCAUAACUCAUCAAUUACAUUACUAUAACCUCGCUCGAGUAAUAAGGGAAACCGAAUAUGCACACGACAGUAAUACUCACUUGCCGUUGUAAGGAAAGAGUAUGGUAUCUUUGUUUUGAUUUUUGAUAAACGAUCGUAGCAAGUUGUCCUCGGCCUCUUUGACGUCCUUUUUAACCAGAAAUUCAUCUAUGAUAUUUGUGUUAAUAAACCCAAUAUCAUAAAUUUCUUGUUUUUUGCACUCGAUGAUCUUCAAUCUGCAUAAUAUAUUGAGGAUAAUUAAUUAUAAAUACAUGAAAUGAAAGAGCCGAGCUAUAUAUAGAGACUUAAUGACAGAAAUAGUACUUACAGACAGUAGCAAAAGACUAUUAGUUUAUCGAGGGCCUUUUGAUUGAAGAACGCGAAGAACUCAUCAAAUGGGACAGUCAACAGAUCAGUUGCAACGAGGUUGUGCUCCUCUUUAAUAUUCAGAUACAAAGCAUUCGUCCCCCUAGACUCUCUGCAGGUUUUCAUGUACCAAUUAUGGAAUCUUCGCAUCAUUGUUAUCAGAGAUUUUUCAUCUUUAACGAGAGGCUUCCCGUACUCGUAUCUGUGUUCGUCCACCUCCAAGAAAUCAGGAAGUUGAUCGUUAGGCAGGUAAUCUUCAAGAUUGCCAUAACCGGCCACCGGCCCCGGAGCAUUAGCGACAAUGUUGCCGCUAGACACAUUGAGCGGGGGGCACGAUUGGUUUGCUUGUUCGCCGAGCUGGUCAAUUUUUUUUGCAACUGCUCAUUCUCUUGACCUUAGAUGUCUGACAGUACUUCCCGACCGCUCCGCUUGAAGAUAUGUCUGUUCAGUAAUGCGCUCAUAGUUGGUUCUCGACGGAGACUUUGCCGGUUUCCUCAGGGCAUCGAGAGUGCGCUUUGCUUUCACCGGAUCUACCUUCUCCUCCGGAGGUGGAUGUCUCUUUGCUUUCACCCCUUCAAAGGACUCCUUCACGUGGAUCCGCACAAUCGUAUCAUUUUCCUCCUCGGUCCUCUCGUACGGUAACUUCUCUAGAGGCUUGAGAGGUGGACCGUAUCUGUAUUGCCUCCCGCCUCUGGUUGUGCUGCUAGACGCCGGAGCAGACGGAGCGGCUGCGGCAUCUGUCUUCUUUCGUGCUUGCUUACGAGGCGGAGGAGAAGGAGUACGACGUGCCGGAGCAGCCGGGGCGGCGGCGGGUCUCUUCCGCCCUUGCUGUUGAGGCGGAGAAGGAGGAGGUUGCUGGCUGCUCGGGAGCGCUGGCACAGGCGGAGAAGGAGGCGGAGUGCCGCCACGCGCCGGAGAAGGAGGCGGAGUGCCGCCACGCGUGCCCUGAUCGUCACUCGCCGGAGGAGGAGGCGGUGGAGGAGGCGGAGUGCCCUGACUCGCCGGAGGAGGAGGAGGCGGAGGCAUCCAGUUCGGAAGGUUGAUGAGCUCCUUCCGCCAUAGGGAUGGAGUCUUCAGAGCAGAACCUAGCCUAGUCUCCCCUUCAUCGGUAGGGUGGUCAAGCAGGAGGUCCUCAAAUCCCUCCGUCACCUUAGCAUAUCCUUCUGGAAUCGGCCGGCAACGAUAAGUUGCUCCGAUCCAGUAGGAUAAACAGAGCCAAUAGCCGUUUUGACCUUCAAAUUCAUCCAUUGCGCCAUAAUGUGGCAAUUUUGAGACUCCGUGAUAGCAUCCACGGAAUAGCUGGCAGGAGCCGUCAAGACAUGCUCCGGCUGAAGCAGCUCGGUGGAAGCCACGCUGCUUCUCUGCUGAGAUGGCAGGGUAGCUUCGGGAGAAGCUUCGGCAGGUCGUUUGCUCCGAUCUGCUGCUUCUCGUUCCUCUAGCCCCAUUACCCUUUCGUGUUGCGCCUGCAGUUGGCCCUGCUCCAGUUUCUUCCUCCUCUCGUGAGUUUUGUACCCCCCUGCGUCCGAAAAACCAACCUUCCACGGAAUGGAGCCUGGCGUGCCUCGUGUCCGUCCAGGGUGCUCAGGAUUCCCGAGGGCCAUUGUGAGCUCGUCCUUCUCCCUGUCUGGAAGGAACGCCCCUUGCUGCGCUGCAUUAAUAUAGUGUCGAAGGUUCUUGAGGGGUAUUUGCAGUUGCUCGUUCGUCCAACGGCACUCCCCUGAUAUAGGGUCCAAGGUUCCGCCAGCCCCGAAGAACCAAGUCCGGCAACGGUCUGGCCAGUACAUUGUCUCUGGUUUGAUCCCUUUUUCAAGCAGAUCAUUCUCCUCCUUGGACCACUUAGGCCGGGCUUUGAGGUAGCCACCUGACCCCGUGCGAUGGUGAAGCUUCUUCUUCGCAACAUUUUGCUUGCUCGUCGCCGACAUCUUCUUACUCUUUUCCGAUGUCUUGUGGGCCACAAAUGCGGGCCAGUGAUCUUUGAUCUUCUCAUAUUUACCGAUGAAUUCUGGUGUCUUUUUUUGUCGACAAACUUGUUCAGCUCUUUCCUCCACCUCCUGAAUAGGGUUGCCAUCUUCUUAAGAGUACAAGACUUGAUUAAUUGCUCUUUAACUAGCUUCUCUGGAUCCUGCUCUGGCGGUAGGGUGAAAUUUGCCUUCAGCUGAGUCCAAGGAUCUUCUUUCUGCAUAUCAUUGACAUAAGACACCUCAGGGUCGUCCUUAGGCUUAUACCAUUGCUGGAUGUUGAUCGGGAUCUUGUCCCUAACAAGAACCCCGCACUAAGCAGAAAAUGCGUUCUUUGUCCGGAUGGGUUCAAUCGGUUCGUCGUCGGCGCGAUUUCUAUGAUCUCAAACCUUUCAUCCGAGCUCAACUUUUUCUUCGGGCCUCGUCUCCUUACCGAAGGUGUGCUCGAUCCGGAGGGCUAGAAAUUAAAAGGAAGAAACAAGAGUAAUUAAUAUGUGUACAUAUACCAAAAUAAUGGAUGCAUCAAUUAACUAGUCAGCACGGGUUUAACUAAUAUAUAUAUAUAUAUAUAUAUAUACCUGGCCGGACUCGGUUCGGUCACCGGAGCAGUCAGCACGGUCUCCUUCUUGUACCUCCAUUGUGUCACCGGAGCCAUCAUGAACAUAGCCCUCUUCUUGUACCGGCAUUAAUGGGCCGAAGCCAUCAUGAACAUAGCCCUCUUCUUCACCCAGUCCUUCCAGCGUACCAUCGGUGUCGUUGAGAAAUGACGCAACUUCAUCACUUCCUUGUGCGAUUAUGUGCCCCAACAUCACUUCUGUUGCUUCGUCUCGGGAGUGCUCCAUAGUUACUGCAAAUAUUUACAACAUGUCAAUUAUUAUUCAAACAUGGUACAAAUGGAUAUAUAUAUAUAUAUAUAUAUAUAUAUAUAUAUAUAUAUAUUAGUGGCAAACGUAAAACUAGCUAGCUAAUCACAAUAAGGAAUCAUGUUAGUGGCCUCGACGCUGCUUCUGUAGGGUUUGGGGUCGCCUCGGCGCAACGCUUCAAGGGUUUGGGGUGGCCUCGACGACAACGCUCUUUUAACUUGGUAAAUUUGGGUGGCCUCAAGAGAGUUUGUCGGGUAGGGCGCAGCGGGAGGGGGUAGAGACCAACAUCGUUUUUUCUCUAGGGUUUGGGUGUCCUCGCGAGUUUUGGUCGAGCGAGAGGGCCGAGAGCAGCCUGACGGUGACAGACCCGAUAAAACAUAAGAAAACGAAGAAGAAAUAAAAAGAGGAGAAGAAGAAAGGAAUAGAGGAGAAGAUCGAAGAAAAAAAGAAGAAAAAAAAGAGGAGAAGAAGAAAAAAUAGAAAUCUAUUUUUUCUUCUUCUCCUCUAUUCCUUUCUUCUUCUCCUCUUCCUUUUCUUCUUUUUUGUUCUUCUUAUUUAUUUCUCCUCUAUUCCUUUCUUUCUUAUUCUCCUCUUCUUUUUCUUCUUCUCCCUCGAGAAAGGAAAAUAAUUAUGGAAAAGAAAGAAAAGAGGAAGAAGGAAGAAGGAAGAAGAAGAAGAAAGGAAUAGAGGACAAGAAGAAAAAAUAGAAUUUUUUUUCUAUUUUUUCUUCUUCUCCUCUAUUCCUUUCUUUUUCUCCUCUUCUUUUUCUUCUUUUUUCUUCUUCUUAUUUAUUUCUCCUCUUCUUUUCCUCUCCUCUCUUCUUUCUUUCCUCUUCUUAUUUUCUUCUUUCCUAUCCUUCUUUUUCUAAAAUUGUAACUUUUGCAUAUAUAAAACUUUUCUAAAAUUGUAACUUUCUAUAUAUGAACAAAAAACUUUCUAUGAACAAAAAAACAUUUUUAACAUAUAUAUUUAGCAAAUUCUAGCCACAUACAUCACAUACACAUAUACAUUAUAGCCACAUACACAUAUACAUCACACAUGAACAAAAAAAUAAACUAAUAAAAAUAAAAAAAACAUGUAGCAACAUAUGAACAAAAACAUAUAGCCACAUACAUACACAUACAUUAUAUAUAUAUGAAAGAAAAUAAACUAAUAAAAAAACAGAGCCGGCCGGGCAGAGGGGCAUGGCGGCAGCGGUGGCGCCGGUGGGGCAGGGCAGGUGUGCGGGAGCGAGGCAAGGCAGGGGCGCGAGGCAGGUGCUCACAGGGUGGUGGCGGGGCACGGCGGGCGGCGUCAGGGCGCGGGAAGCGGCGCCGGCGUCGGGGCAGAUGGCGUCGAGGGCGGCGGCGACGGUGAGGUGGACCAGCCUGACGGCGUCGGAGGCGGCGGCGACGACGAGGUGGAGCAGCCUGACGGCUCGGCGGCGACGGCGACGAGGCAGAGCAGCGGGCGUCGGGCGGAGAAGAAAGGGAUGGAUUUUAGAGAAACUGCUAAGUGCUAGUUAUAUAUGAAGAGAAUUGGUCCNNNNNNNNNNNNNNNNNNNNNNNNNNNNNNNNNNNNNNNNNNNNNNNNNNNNNNNNNNNNNNNNNNNNNNNNNNNNNNNNNNNNNNNNNNNNNNNNNNNNNNNNNNNNNNNNNNNNNNNNNNNNNNNNNNNNNNNNNNNNNNNNNNNNNNNNNNNNNNNNNNNNNNNNNNNNNNNNNNNNNNNNNNNNNNNNNNNNNNNNNNNNNNNNNNNNNNNNNNNNNNNNNNNNNNNNNNNNNNNNNNNNNNNNNNNNNNNNNNNNNNNNNNNNNNNNNNNNNNNNNNNNNNNNNNNNNNNNNNNNNNNNNNNNNNNNNNNNNNNNNNNNNNNNNNNNNNNNNNNNNNNNNNNNNNNNNNNNNNNNNNNNNNNNNNNNNNNNNNNNNNNNNNNNNNNNNNNNNNNNNNNNNNNNNNNNNNNNNNNNNNNNNNNNNNNNNNNNNNNNNNNNNNNNNNNNNNNNNNNNNNNNNNNNNNNNNNNNNNNNNNNNNNNNNNNNNNNNNNNNNNNNNNNNNNNNNNNNNNNNNNNNNNNNNNNNNNNNNNNNNNNNNNNNNNNNNNNNNNNNNNNNNNNNNNNNNNNNNNNNNNNNNNNNNNNNNNNNNNNNNNNNNNNNNNNNNNNNNNNNNNNNNNNNNNNNNNNNNNNNNNNNNNNNNNNNNNNNNNNNNNNNNNNNNNNNNNNNNNNNNNNNNNNNNNNNNNNNNNNNNNNNNNNNNNNNNNNNNNNNNNNNNNNNNNNNNNNNNNNNNNNNNNNNNNNNNNNNNNNNNNNNNNNNNNNNNNNNNNNNNNNNNNNNNNNNNNNNNNNNNNNNNNNNNNNNNNNNNNNNNNNNNNNNNNNNNNNNNNNNNNNNNNNNNNNNNNNNNNNNNNNNNNNNNNNNNNNNNNNNNNNNNNNNNNNNNNNNNNNNNNNNNNNNNNNNNNNNNNNNNNNNNNNNNNNNNNNNNNNNNNNNNNNNNNNNNNNNNNNNNNNNNNNNNNNNNNNNNNNNNNNNNNNNNNNNNNNNNNNNNNNNNNNNNNNNNNNNNNNNNNNNNNNNNNNNNNNNNNNNNNNNNNNNNNNNNNNNNNNNNNNNNNNNNNNNNNNNNNNNNNNNNNNNNNNNNNNNNNNNNNNNNNNNNNNNNNNNNNNNNNNNNNNNNNNNNNNNNNNNNNNNNNNNNNNNNNNNNNNNNNNNNNNNNNNNNNNNNNNNNNNNNNNNNNNNNNNNNNNNNNNNNNNNNNNNNNNNNNNNNNNNNNNNNNNNNNNNNNNNNNNNNNNNNNNNNNNNNNNNNNNNNNNNNNNNNNNNNNNNNNNNNNNNNNNNNNNNNNNNNNNNNNNNNNNNNNNNNNNNNNNNNNUUUUUUAAUUCUUUUUGCUUUUAGUUUUAGAAAAAUUAUAAACUUUCUGUUAGUGCCAUUAGUUUUCAAAUUUGAAAACACUUUUUUUGUUUUUUUGUUUUCUUUCUUGCUUUAUUUAUUUUAUUUUAUUUCUACUUACAACAAAAUACUUAUUGUUGCUAUUUUUAAUUAUUACGAGGGCCGAACCAUAAGACAUUAAAGCAUUUCAAAUGAACUAUGAAAAAGUUAAAAGUUGGCAUGGUAUCAUAAAUUUACCCACAUAGCAUGUGCAUGUACAAAACGGACAAUGGUAUCGUACUCGUCUAUUAUAAAGUUAGCAUGGUAUCAUCAUAAUAGUUGUGGGAGAAAGUCUUCACUUUUUCUUCGCUUGUGUCAUUUGCUUAUUGCGCCGUAACCAUGGAUAAUCUUCAUCGUUUAUCAGGAUGCUGGGGUCAGCCUUGACUUUGAAGGGAGGAAUUUCAUGAAACUUUUCAUAAUCUUCAGACAUGCCUGUCUUGCCCUCCACUCCCACGAUGUCCCUUUUCCUGAAAGAACUAUGUGGCGCUUUGGCUCAUCGUAUGAUGUAUUCGCUUUCUUAUCUUUUCUUUUUCUCGGUCUGGUAGACAUGUCCUUCACAUAGAUAAUCUGUGCCACAUCAUUGGCUAGGACGAAUGGUUCGUCAGUGUACCCAAGAUUUUUUAGAUCCACUGUUGUCAUUCCGUACUAUGGGUCUACCUGUACCCCGCCUCCUGACAGAUUAACCCAUUUGCACUUAAACAAAGGGACCUUAAAAUCAUGUCCGUAGUCAAGUUCCCAUAUGUCGACUAUGUAACCAUAAUAUGUGUUAUUUCCCCUCUCGGUUGUUGCAUCAAAGCGGACACCGCUGUUUUGGUUGAUGCUCUUUUGAUCUUGGUCAAUCGUGUAAAAUGUAUUCCCAUUUAUCUCGUAUCCUUUUCAAAUCGUAACAGUCGAAGAUGGUCCCCUGGACAACAAGUACAGCUCAUCACAAACAGUGUUGUCACCUCUGAGACGUGCUUCCAACCAACAGUUGAAAGUCCUGAUGUGUUCACAUGUAAUCCAGUCGUCGCACUGCUCCGGGUGUUUGGAGCGUAGACUGUUCUUCUGAUCAUCGACAUACGGGAUGCAUGUAUCUUCUGCACCUCCAAUCCUAGAGGGCAUACGACCUUCUUUGCUGCGUAUGUACUGUCAGGCAAUUCGUUAUCCUUUGGAAGCUUCUUCUUCAAUAUUUUCAGUAGCUUCUCAAAUCCUUUGUCAGGCACAACAUUCUCUGCCUUCCACUGCAGCAAUUCCAGUACGGUACCGAGCUUUGUGUUGCCAUCUUCGUAAUUGGGGUACAACCCUUUUUUGUGGUCCUCUAACAUGCGAUCAAACUUCAGCUUCUCCUUUUGACUUUCGCAUUGCGUCCUUGCAUCGACAAUGACCCGGCGGAGAUCAUCAUCAUCGGGCACAUCGUCUGGUUCCUCUUGAUCUUUAGCAGCUUCUCCUGUUGCAGCAUCAUCGUGCACAUCGUCUGGUUCCUCUUGAUCUUCAGUAGCAUCACCGUAUUCAGGGGGCACAUAGUUGUCAUCGUACUUUUCUUCUUCGCCGUCUUUCAUCAUAACCCCUAUUUCUCCGUGCCUCGUCCAAACAUUAUAGUGUGGCAUGAAACCCUUGUAAAGCAGGUGGGUGUGAAGGAUUUUCCGGUCAGAGUAAGACUUCGUAUUCCCACAUAUAGGGCAUGGACAACACAUAAAACCAUUCUGCUUGUUUGCCUCAGCCACUUCGAGAAAUUCAAGCACGCCCUUAAUGUACUCGGAGGUGUGUCUUGAACCGUACAUCCAUUGCCGGUUCAUCUACGUGCAUUAUAUAUAAUUAAGUGUGUCAAAAAUCAUUACAGAACAUCACGAAUAGAUAAUUAAGUGACCAAAUUAAUAGAAGUUCAUCAUCACAUUAAAACCAAAGUACAUACAUAGUUCUCAUCUAACAACAUAAAGCUCUGCAGAGCAUCUAAAUUAGUUAAACCAUACAUUGAAACUAUGUAAAACAUUUCAAUGCGAAAACAAAUGCGAUCAUAAUCGCAACCAAUGUAACAACUGAUCCAACGGCAUAAUGAUACCAAGCCUUGACAUGAAUGACAUAUUUUCUAAUCUUUCUAAUCUUCAAGCGCAUUGCAUCCAUCUUGAUCUUGUGAUCAUCCACGACAUCCGCAACAUGCAACUCCAAUAUCAUCUUCUCCUCCUCAAUUUUUCUAAUUUUUUCCUUCAAGAAAUUGUUUUCUUCUUCAACUAAAUUUAACCUCUCGACAAUAGGGCCGGUUGGAAUUUCCGGUUCAACAACCUCCUAGAUAAAUAAAAUCUAUGUCACGUUGGUCGGCAUAAUUGUCAUAAACAAUAGAUAAACCAAUAGUUAUGAAAAGAUAAUAUAUAGCACAUCCGAAUCAUAGACAGGACGAGGGCCGACGGGCGGAUACCAAAACCAUCGCACUAUAUAAGAUGCAAUAAUAAAAGUAAGAAAAUUAUACAAGUAUCUAUAUAAACAUACAAGUAAGAGUUUUUUUCCUUCCAGAAAGAAGAUAAGAACAAGAGGCUCACCACGAUGGUGCCGGCGACGAGAUCGGCGCGGGCGAUCGACGGCGGUGAAGACGGGGACGGGACGUGACGGACCGCUAAACCUAGACAAAUAUUGAGGAAAAUGGAGUUUGGAGGUCGAGCUUGGAGAGGAGAAAGCUUAAGUAGUGUGGCUCGGUCAUUCCAUCGAACACCUCGUGUGCAUAGGAGGUGAGCUAGAGCACCACAAAGCUUUCUCCUUGCCGGCCACGAAAAACAGAACAGUGAGAGUGCUCUGCUCGCGGGUAUAUAUAGGCAAUUAAUUGGUCCCGGUUCGUGAUUUGAACCGGGACUAGAUGGAAGCCUUUGGUCCCGGUUCAGACCACCAGCCGGGACCAAUGGUGGUGGGCCAGGAACAAGGCACAUUGGUCCCGGUUCGUCCCACCAACCGGGACCAAAAGAUCCAGACGAACCGGGACCAAUGGCCCACGUGGCCCGGCCGGCCCCCGGGGCUCACGAACCGGGUCCUAUGCCCCCAUUGGUCUCGGUUCUGGAUUGAACCGGGACUAAUGGGCUGACCCGGCCUGGACCAUUGCCCCCUUUUCUACUAGUGGAUAGCUCCAAUUUAGCAUGGUAAUGCUUUUGUGGCUAUUUACAAUUGCCAUUGCUCACUAUUGAAAAUUUCGGUUAAUUCUCAUUUAGGCAGUUGCGGAAGCUGAAACUGUCACUGAACUAGCUAGGCUGAACAUUUAUUGCUACACACUGCGUGAACUAUAAUGGGGCAAUAUUUUUCCAUACUUAUUGAUUUUUCACAAACAAAAUUCCCACAAAUGGGUAGCUUAAAGCAUCCGCAAGAAGGGCUCUACUCAAGCCCGUCACCUUUUUUUUCUUGCCAAAGGCUAAAAAUAUAUGCUCUGGCGGGGUCUCUACUUAAGCUCCCAAAAUAGGGAGGCCCCUGGAAAACCAGCAACAACCCCCAAGAAUAGGGGAUGCCCCCCAUAACCCCUAUCGUUGGGUAUAAUAGGAAUGAUGGAAACUUCUGCCCCAAGCCCAUGCACCGACACGCCUCCUGCCCGACGGAGCUCCUGCCGCGCCAAGGUUUCCAUGCUGCUAGCAUAGUUUGACCUUUCUCGAGCCUUGCUCGGCUCCGUUACCAUUCUCCCCUGAUGAAGUUCCGCCAGCCAACACCUCCACCGCUUCAUUGUAUGCCGACGUUGCCCUACCACAUGCGUCAGCCGCCCUGACGCUGCUGGCUCUUGAGCUCCGCUGCCGCUCAUUUGCGGCCCCCAAGCUCUACCCAGUUGAUGAGAGAGGAUAGAGACGUGGGAAAAAUAAGAAGUAGUUGAGUAGGUCAUGAGCCUUUUUUUGGGGGGGGGGGGUGCAUCUAUCAUGGUAACUAGGGGGCAAUCAUUGAAGUUCGAUCAAUUUUGGGUUCAGAAAAUGGAGCUUAAGCCCUAUUUGACCUACCUAUAUGGGCACUAAAAUAGGGAUUAUUGCCAAAGAUGCGUUUGAGGUGAAAAAUCUUUCAUUCUCCCAUAUACUCAGGCCUUUUUGUUAUUCGGGUUGAUACAAUCAUUUGGCACUCACAGUGUGCAGCUUAUAUGUUAGCAUUAUCAGAUUUUUCCUGGGUACGAAUUGUGUGUUGGAAGAGUUGACCAUAUGGAAUCUGAAGCAUUGAGAGAGAAAUAUCAGAGAUGUUAACUCACCAGAAAGAGAGAAUUCCCAUUACCAUCAGGGCAAAAGCAAAGGAUACAACUUACCCCUGCUAGUUUAGAAAACCUAACUCCUCCUGUGAUGAUUGACAUAUAUCUUCAAACUAGAAUUGACAUGAUUUGAUGUGUGUUGUAUUAAGCCUCUCUCAGGCUGUUUACGUAGAGUAUAAGAGCAUCUAUAACCGUCCCCCUCAAAUCUGCACCAAACGCCCGAACGGGCUGCCAGGUCAGUGACCAGACACAAAAGCGGCACCCAACUGGGCCCUCCAAAUCCGGUCCAAAUGCCCGGACGGGGGCACCACAUCGGAUCAGCCCACUAGGGCCCGCGCUACCCCCACAAAAACCCCAUCCUAUCCGACGAACCCUAGUCAAACCGCUGUCCAUACUCGUCUUCUCCGCUCUCCUCGUCUCACCCGCUUCCUCCGAAACCAUACCCUCCCCUCCAGCGUGGCCAACUCCGGUGAGCGCUCUGGCAGCGAAUCCGACCCCGUUGACUUGAACGGGCUCGUGAAGUAGGAGGACGUCGGAUCUAGCUGCAAUACACCGGACGACGAGGAGUUCGUGAUCCACAUCGCCAUCGAUCGCUCGUGUGUGGACACCGGCAGUAACUCGAGCUCCCUCACAUCCGCCGCUAGCUCCUACACCUCCUGAUGUAGGAAUGCAGGAUGCAGUCGCCCUUCCUACUCCGCGCUACUCCAGAUCCGUCCGGCGGCCGUUUCACAUUGCCUUCUGGCGUGCGCACCACCCGAGCGACGGUGCGUGCUCGUGCCCGGGGAUGCGUAUGCCGGAGUUAGAGGAGCAGGCGGCUCGGUGUGAGCGGCAGAUUUGGCGGCGCCCAGCUCUUCCUGCCAGCGAGCGUGCUCCUCCCUGUUGUCCUGGAGGAGGCGCUCCUCCACGAGGUCAUGCGGUGGUCACUGACCACGCUGGAGACCAACGCUCGACACCUCCGGUGCAAGAACCCGAAGGCGCUCUGCCUCGGUCUCGAGGUGUCUAAGAACCUCGCCCGGCACGAGGAGACCGCCGCCGUCAAGGCCGCUUGCCAUGCCAAGCAGCAGUAGUGCCUCCUCUGCCGCCUCUUCGGGUGCAUUUUGUCCGCAUCGAAGAGCAGCACCACCACGGACGACAAUGACCCUCCCGCCGCCGACGCGUACAUAGAGGAGAUGGACCGCCGCGCUGCCUACUGCAAGGGGAGGGGCCAGACCAAGAAGUGGUGAACUCCGGUUGCCCACCAUGCCAGUUUAGAUUUUAGUUGUUUUUAUGUUUGUUUUAGAUUUAAUUUGAGCUAGCUCGGCCCUUUUGGAUGAACAAAUUGCAUGUCCGAUGCGCAUAAAAUGCAUGAGUUUGCAUGAAAUUGAGUAUCUGCAUUUGGGGUUUGGUGUUGUGGAGGGGAAACUUGGGUACUGUCAAGGCAGUGCCAGCGAACACGUGUGUGGGCAUAUAGGGCAUCGAAUUAGGUGUUUCUGGUUGUAGAUAGUCUAAGGCUUAAAGCAUAGGAGUCUCUCCUAGAGAUAAGCUAGAAGAUGGAUUGCAAAUUAUAUUAUACCAUGAAAUAUAGAGAUAUGCUAAUAUAUUCCAACAGACCAGAAGUAAUCUAAUGCGUGCAACGGAAAUAUCUGAGAUGCCCUGUCACUGUUCAGAUAAAGAGGGAAAUUCCCAUAUCAAUCAAGUAAAAAUGAAAUGAUCCAAGUUAAUUACCGGCGCUAGAGAUCCAAGUUGAUUGAAAACCCCAACUACAAUGACUGACGGUGCACGUCUAUCUCCAAGCUAGAAUCGGCCCUGUAAUUAUUCUUAGAAACCAAAUGGAAAGAGAAGAGGAGGAAGUGCCUGCAGCCUGCCGGCCCAUGCUCAUGAUAUAAUAUUCCUCCCGAUAAGAAGCAAGGAAGGCAAGGAGGCGGUGAGCCGGACGAGAAGAUAAUACGAUUCGGAUUCGGGCGCCAUCAUUUGCUGUGCUUUAUAGACCGGCGUGCCUUCUUUUUCUUUUCUUUUGGACAGGAGCCACCCAAGUUGCUCGUCGAAUUCACUUUCCCCGAGGCAACUGAAGUUGUUAGUGACGAAUCACGCCAGCGUAUGAAACCUUUUCCAGAAAAAGGAAAAUGGGCAGCGAGUGAGAGCGCAAGUAGUACAAAAUUAGAACUGCGAACAGUUUCUAUAUGCCAUGAACAAGUAGUAGAAAAAAUGAUUAAACAUGCAGACAUUUUUUAUGUGUUGUGAACAAUUUUUAAAUUUCAUGAACAUUUCGUAAAUGUGUGAUCAUUUUUAAAUGUCAUGAGAAAAAAAUGAAUGGGAUGAAGUUUUAUAAAAAAGUGAAAGAAUUUUUUUAUUGUAUGCCUCGAUCUCACAAUAAGCAAGGCUUCGGCUCCUGAUGCAGUGGCGUGUCAAGCCCAUCAUGCGCAUAAAAACAAAAUCAAGAUGUGAUUAGCGGCGCUAGAGACGUUAAGUUUAGGGCCUGUUCUGUCUCAAAAAAAGUUAAAAUAGGAACUGUUAGGAACAUACUAUUUCUGGAGGAAUUUUACAGGAAAGCUAUUCCUAUGGAACAGUUACCUUUCCAAGCAUCCGAAAUGGAGGAAAUUGAAUAGUGUUCCAGAGGAAAGUUUUAUCUCCCGUGGUGAUUCCAGAGGAUUGGAAACAUCCAUCGCAACCUCAUAUUUUAGCGGAAGCCUGAGGCAAGGACCUAACCGGCAUGCAACAUGAAGUUUUGUGAGGGAGCAACCAAAUAAAGAGAUCCCUAGCUAUAUAUCGUUUUGGCUCCAGAGCACCCAAAUAAAGAGAACCCUAGCUAUAUAACGUUCUGGCUCCUGGAUUUCUCAUGUACAAACUGCCUUUGUUAAUGGAAGAUACAUUAUGGAAGGACCGAGAUACAUAACAGAAGAAUUUUUGAUCUUCCAUGAGACCCUCAAUUUAUUUAUGCUAAGGCGAACCAACCUGGGUUGGAUGGCUAGGAGGAGAGUGGUAUCACUAGCCCACCAGGGUUCAAAUCUUAGACAUGACCUUAGUUCUCGCAUUUUCCUGAAUAUAAUUCAGGUCUUCCGACGAUGUGCGUUCAGUGGGAGGAAACGCUCCCAUCGAAAACAAAGACAUAAGUGGCGAUUUCGUUAAUCUCAAGAUGAAGUGUCGGUCAAGUCUCUCGGAGGUGCUCAUGGGUCUACCUAUGCUACACUUACAGGCUACCUGUGCCAAGAACCGUGGGCCAAAAAUGCUUGGGCACCCACAUGUGUAGGCAGAAAUGGUACACUAACCAACACCACCCCUGAAUUUCACUGUGGGCCAAAAAUGCUACACUUACAGGCUACCUCUAUGCCAAGAACUUACGGGCCCUCCCUCUCACCAACCAACCUCCCCCCCCCCCUCCCUCGGCCUCCCUGAAUUUAACUAUGGGCCCCUUCCCCUGGGAACUCCUAGUCAGCGCCGCGCAAGCUGACCGGCGCCUGCAGCCGCGGCUGGAUGGGCCGGCCCACAAUGGCGCAGCGAGAAAAAAGGCGGCCGAGAAACCUGCUAUCGAUCGGGAUCGAUCUCGCGCGCUCACGCUUCCAAAGAGCGAGGCUAACCACAUGACCAACCAAACUGUAGUGAUUAUGUAGAGCGUGAAGCUUAAAAGAAUAGAAACAAAGACGCACUAUUAAUUUCGCAUUACACUGUAGAGUUUAAUUUUUCCAAUUAUUUAAAAACAUGUGCACAUAUUACAAAUGAAGUUCACGCGCAUGCAAAAAUAAUUCGCGUACUCAAAAAAUAGUUCAACAAAUAAAAAAAGUUCAUGUAUUCAAAAUAAAGUUCACAGAUUCAAAAGAGUUCAUCGAUUUUCAAAAAAUGUCCAUCGAACAAUAAAAUUAGUUCAUAAAUUUGAAUAAAAAAAGUUUAUCAAUUUGAAUAAAAAAAAUUCAUUGAAUUUGUUAAUCUAAAUUGGAAAAGGUUCAUGUAUUCAAAAACAAGUUCACAGAUUCAAAAGAGUUCAUCGAUUUUCAAAAAUGUUCAUCGAACAAUGAAAGUAGUUCAUCGAUUAGAAUAAAAAAGUUCAUCAAUUUGAAAAAAGUUCAUCGGAUUUGGAGAAAGUUCAUCAGUUUUGAAAAAAGUUCAUCAAUGUUGAAAAAAAGUUCAUAAAAUUUGAAAAAUAAGUUCAUCAAUUUUGAAAAAGGUUCAAGAGUUUCAAAAAAACAGGUCAUGGAUUUUGAAAACAAGUUCAUCUAUUUGAAGAAAACAAUUACGAAUUUGGAAAAAGAAAGAAGAAAAGAACAGAGAAAAAAGAAAAAGAAAGAAAAAAGGAAAACUGGAAGGUAUAAAUGGAUGAAAAACGUUAGUGUUGCUCAGUUAGUGAGGUAGUGGGGUCGGUCACGCCACGAUCACUGAUAACCAGCGAUGCAGGGUUUGAAUCCUAGCUCCCGCUGUGUUUUUGCACUUUUCCGUAGAGUUUGGAUAGUGGAAGAAAAAUGAAAGAUGGGCCGGUUAGUAAAAACAGUAGAAAUCGGCGCCUGCAGCGCUAAAUAGGAAUUGCCGAUUUUCCUAUAACCAAAAAAUGCCACACAAGACUGUGAGAUCCCGUCCGUAGGUGAAUCAUUGUUCUUGGCUCUUAUAGGCUGGUUACUAGUCCUUUUUGUAGUGAGCUUGCACGCUAGGAAUUGUUGCUGCUUAGAUAGCCCACCCCAUAUCGGCUUCUAAUUUACAUUGUGAACACGUUCUUUGAACUUUAAGAACAUUUUUUUUCAAAUCCGUCAAGUUAUUUCAAAUUUAUGAGUUUUGAUUAUUUUUUAAAAACAAUUCAAAUCUGUGAAUAUUUUGAAAUUCGUUACUUUUAUGAAUUUGUGAACUAAUUAUGAAUUCACAAAUUUUUUGAAACAUUGAUGAACUUUUUAAUAAUCCGUGAACAUUUCUUCAAAUGGGCGAACAUUUUUACUGUUCAUGAAGAAAAAACAAAUUUGGUGAACAUAUUUUAUAUACACAAACAUUUUUACAAAUUUUGGACUUUUUAAAAUCCAUGAACAUUUUCUGAUUUCAAUUAGUUUUAAACGCAGCCAGUUUAGCCGGUAUUUUCAUAAAGCAGCAGCGGCAAAAGGGUACGAACUUACCAGCCACUGAGCGGAACCAGCAAGCAACCAAUGCUUUUAGGACUGAGGCACGUCUAACUGGUGUGGGCGGCACAUGAAGCGCUGAGGAGGUCUCACCCCUACCGUAUUUCCUAUUCGGCGCCUUAUGCGCCGGAUAGAGUACUUCUUGCAAACCGCGCACAACAAAUCCACAGCAAUGUCGAUCUACAUGAGCUGGCCCGUUAGUUAUUCUCUUUUUCGUCGGUUUUCCUGGGAACCUUUCCAUGAAUGUUGCGCAAUUUUUCCUGGGGCGAUUUUUCUACUGGUUUUUACCCAACAUGGGUGUUUGCUAGUUUUCUAUUUUUGCUUUUGCUUUCUGUUUUUCUAAACUUUUUUAUUUCUUUUCCAUUUUUCGGUUUUAUCAAAUUCCUGAAUGUUUCAAAAUUUAUCCAUGUUUUUGAAAUUUGUGAAUUUUUUGCAGAUUUGUAAACUAUUUUCCAAUUUAUGAUUUUUUUGAAAGUUUGUGAAUUAUCUUUCAUUUUCAUGAUUUUUUCCAAAUGAUGAACCUUUUCAAUUCUUGAACUUUUCUCAAGUUAUUGAACUUUUUUGCAAUUGCUCAACUUUUUUUAUUAAAUUCAUGAAUAUUUUUCAAAAUCAAGAUUUUUUUAUAAUUCAUGAACCUUUUUUCUAAAAUUCGUCAGCUUGUUCUCAAAUCGUGAUUUUUUUUCAUUCAGAUUUGCAGGAAAAAAGUAAAAUCAUUACUUUUUUCUCAAAUACGAGGACAGUUUUGAAAUUCAUGAACUUUGUUGCUAAUGCUUGAACUUUGUUCAAUUUGUGCUUUUUUUGGUCAAAUACGUCCACUUUUCUCAAAUCAUGAAUUUGUUUUGGCAAAUUUGUGAAAACACAUCAAAAUCAUGAACUUCUUUUCAAAUUCAUGAUAUUUUUGGCAAGUUUGUUAACUUUUUUCAAAUUUGUUAACUUUUUUGCGAAUUCGUGUACUUUUUUUUUCAAAUCGGUACACUUUUUUAAGAAUAUGUGGUUUUUUCCAUGGUCAAGCAUCAAUAGCCAUGUUAGCAGUCAACUCUCGCUAUCAACGAUCAAUGGCGAACGAAGCAAGCGAACCGUCCGACCGCUAUGGGUCGCGGCCUACUAAGCUUGCGCGUGAGUGCCACAUACCUAGCAAGCGCUAUAGGCGCCAAUUAGGAGGUUUCUCACCCUAUUGCGUCACAGAACUAUUGCUCUUCUUCACUCUUGACGCGAAGUGGGCCGUCCAAAUAACAUUUUCAACCAGUUUAAAGAAUUUUUGAUGGACUAGUUUUAUCCAACGGAAACACCUAUAUUUGUCCGCUUAGCAGUCUGGACGUACGGAUUUGAGUAUCCAAGAGACAAAAAUGGAAGGGCUUUGUCUGAGUCCAGAAAUGCACUUGAGCAAUCACAUGCAUAGUCCCACUCUUCUCCCUAUCCUUCCAACCACAUAUGCAUGGCCCUAUCUCAUCUCUCACCAAAAUCCACGCCUGCACACCCACGUAUCUCAUAUUCCGAACCCUAUAUCAAUACAAAUUCAUGCAACGUACUAUGUAGAUCACCAAACAACCAAAAUCGACAGGAAACAAACAUAUAAACUAAUACCAAACGGGCAUAAUUCACAUAAACAUCACCAAACGGGCAUAAGUCACACAGUUCAACGAUCUAGCACAUUGUAACUACAUACUAGAACUAAAUUAUAAACAACAGGAGCGAGCUUCACCACUCCUUCGCAGCCCUUUACCCUUCCGGUCGCCAGCGCAACUGUAGGAGUCCGUGGCAAGAGGUGGAUCCACAUCGAAGUCGUCGGACCCGUCUUCGAAGGAGGAAUCGGAGAUGACGAUGUAGCAUUGCAAGCGCUCAACGAUGCGGUCUUGCUUGUGCUUGAGCUUGGCCAUCCUCGCCGCCGCCUCCGCCGCCUCCUACUCGAAUUGCUCAAUGUCGAGCCAGACCUGCUUGAUGUUGAUCCUCCACGGACACUGACCGGGCACUCCCUAAAUCCGCGCCUCCACACCCACGUAUCUCAUAUUCCGAACCCUAUAUCCAUACAAAUUCAUGCAACAUACAAUGUAGCUCACCAAAUGACCAAAGUCGACAGGAAACAGACAUAUAAACUGAUACCAAACGGGCAUAAGUCACACAGUUCAACGAUCCGGCACAUUGUAACUAAAUAAUAGAACUAGAUUAUAAACAUGAGAGGGCGAGCUUCACCACUCCCUCGCCUGCCCUUUGACAUUUCGGUCAGCGACGCAGCUGUAGGAGUCCGUGGCAAGAGGUGGGUCCAUGUCGAAGCCGUCGGAACCGUCUUCGAAGGAGGAAUCGGAGAUGACGAUGUAGCCUUGCAAGCGCCGGACGACGCAGUCUUUCUUGUGCUUGAGCUUGGCCACUCUCGCCGCCUCUGUCGCUACCUCAGCCGCCUCCCACUCGGAUUACGCAAUGUCAAGCCAGAGCUGCUUGGCGUUGGUCCUCCGGAGCCGUCGUGCCUUGUCUCCGCCUUAGUAAGUGACCGACGGCACACCCACUCGAGGAGACGCUCCUCAUCAUCGGGCGCUGGCAUCACGUGGCGGCGCCGGGCAGACUGCAUAGCCAUGGCGGACCCGCCACCCAUCUCCCUUGCCCCUCUGCCUCUCGCGACGGGCGACAUGUGCCUCCGACUCCAAAAUUUGCAUCUGCAGCAUCGGCGGAGCGGACACUAGAACCACCGUUGCCCGUGCGGAGCAGCGGCCAGAGGUCGAAGAGGCCGUCGGGCGGGAGCAGCAAAUUGGGUAGGCCUCGCAAAUCCGCUUGCGGGGCAGGAAGGGCUGGCGCUGUGGCGAUGGGCGAGUGUGUGUUGAGCCUCUCAAGUAUGUCCGACGGAUCGAGUGUCUUGAAAUCAGGGUGUUCUUGUAUCAUCAGGGCUAAGGUGUCAAAUGAGUUGUCAAGAGAUCGCAGUAGUGUCUUCACUAUUUCAUGCUUCGUAAUGUCAGUUGCACCGAGUGCACGGAGCUCAUUUGUGAUAUCCGUGAGGCGAUCAAAUGUAAGCUGGACUUUCUCAUAGCCGUGUCUUUUGAAGCAGUUGAAGAGGUUGCGGAGAGUACUGAUUCGUUGAUCUCGCUGAGUUGAGACGCCUUCAUUGACUUUGGAGAGCCAGUCCUAGACUAGCUUCGACGUUUCCAGAGCGCUCACACGGCCAUACUGCCCUUUGGUCAGAUGACCACAGAUGAUGUUCUUGGCUGUAGAGUCCAGUUGAAUGAACUUCUUGACAUCAGUAUGGGUGACACCUUCACCGGUCUUGGGAACGCCAUUCUUGACAACAUACCACAGAUCGACAUCGGUGGCUUCAAGAUGCAUGCGCAUCCGAUUCUUCCAGUAGGGAUAUUCAGUGCCAUCAAAGAUGGGGCACGCAGCGGAGACCUUGAUUAUUCCUGCAAUCGACAUAGCUAAAACUCUAGGUGGUUAAACCGAAUCACACAGAACAAGGGAGUAUCUUGCUCUGAUACCAAUUGAAAGGGAUAUUUAUCGACUAGAGGGGCGGGUGAAUAGGCGAUUUUUAUGAAAGUCUUUAAAACAUGGGAGUUUCAAAGACAAACAGUAGAAAAAACACUAUUCCUAUGCAGCAGAAGGUAGACUAGACUAGACACGCCAUAGUCAAGUAUUCAAUGAAGUGAAACCACGAAGACUAUUAGCAGCUAGGUAGUAAAGAUUAGGGUGGAAGAUAGUAUGAAGGCAAUCAAGACAAGUAGUCACACAGUAAAGUCAAACAGAUUAUGCAAGCAGGCAAUGACUUCAUGAAGACAAACUGUAAGUAAGGAGAAGUGAGAGAUAGAACCAGUAGCUUCAGGAAGACAGUGGUUUGUUCGACCAGUUCCAGUUGCUGUGACAACUGUACGUCUGGUUAGAGAGGCUGAGAUUUAACUCAGAAGACUGCGUCUUCACCUUAUUCCCCUUGAGCUAAGGACUCUGAGUCCCUGCCCAAUCACUCUGGUAAGUCUUCAAGAUAGACUCCCAAACCUUCACAGGCUUCGUUCACCGGCAAUCCACAAUGACUCUUGGAUGCUCAGAACGUGACGCCUAACCGGCUGGAGGAUUCACAGUCCUCAAGUGAAAUAAGUCUUCAGAUCACGCGGACAGAAGGACUUAAGUGAUGCCAAACUCUCUUUGGACUCUGGGCGGUUUGGGCUUUGUCCUCGCAAGGAUUCUCUCUCAAAGGCUUCGGAGGUGGGUUGCUCUCAAGCGACAAAAGUCGUAUACUAACUCUGAGCAGCAACCAAUUUAUGGUGUAGGGGGUGGGAUAUUUAUAGCCAUUGGGCAACCCGACUUGAUUUGUCCGAAAUGACCCUGGGUCACUAAGGAACUGACACAUGUCGCAAUGGUCAGAUUUCAACCACACGCGGCAGCUUGACUUGGGCUACAAGUAAAGCAGACUUAUCCGACUCUGGAUAAGAUUUGUACUCAUUGUCUUCGCUCGAAGACACAUGAUUUGGUUGAGCAUCACUUCAGUCACUCUGACUUUGUUCACUUGGACCCCACUUAACAGUGCGGUGGUUCUUAUGACUCAACAAAGAAGAAAAGAAACAACGAAACAACUAAGUCUUCGUGCUCCAUAGUCUUCAGACAUUGUCUUCUCAUGUGAUAGUCUUCAAUGUGAUUAGCUUCACAGACCACCAUUGUCUUCAAUGUCUUCACACAUUUUUAGGGGUCAUCUCCGGUAGGUAAACCGAAUCAAUGAGGGACUACUACCUGUGUUAUCCUGCACUUCUCACAAACAAAUUAGUCCCUCAACCAGGUUUGUCGUCAAUACUCCAAAACCAACUAGGGGUGGCACUAGAUGCACUUACAAUCUCCCCCUUUUUGGUGAUUGAUGACAAACUGGUUGAAGUUUUUAACGGGGAUAAAAGUAUGUGAAAUUGUAAAGGAUUAAGGCAUUGUCUUCAUAAGUGGCAAAAUGCUCCCCCUGAAGAUGUGCAUAUAAAUGUUUUGCGCUGGAAUGCAAAUGCACAUGGCAGGCUGUACUUGUGGAGAUCCUCCUCACCAUAUGAAUAUAAUACAUCAUGCAUGAACAAAUAUACAGGGAUAAUGACAUGCAUAAUGAAAGAUGGAUGUCUGCGAAAUGACUUCAUGCAGGAUUUAUCAUCGCACAUGUGGAAUUUAUCGUCGCAUCACAGAAUAGCAGUAAAAAGUAGCAGACAACCAUCGAGUUUAAGUGUUACAACUCAAAUAACCAAAUGUAUCAAAACGGGAGUUGUAAACACUAGGCAAAAGUAUAGUGACCACCCAUAUGGACCCGCUUUAAGACUAUCAACCUAUGCUUCUCCCCCUUUUGUCAGUAAGGACCAAAAAGGUUUGAAGACAUAGUCGCUACUCAUUCCCAUGAGAAGUAGGUGAAGCAGUAGGGUCGUCGUUGAGGUUUGGUGGUGCAGAAGAACUUGGUGCAGUGUCGAUACACGCUGAUGUUGGAGGUGGUGAAGUAGCAUCAUCAGAUUCAUCAAUAACUUUGGCAUUUACCGUGGCUGCGGAGGAAGAGUAAUCUGAGUCUUCAAGAGAUGGAGUUCGACGCAGGACAACAUUCCUUGGAGGAGUGGAGUCAAACUUGAAUCUCUCGGUGAAGCCAUCGUCUUGAAGAUCAGCUUCAGCACUGAGCAAUGUCAAACCCUUCCAAGUCCUCCGAUAGGUUUCAUGAGUAACAAAGGCGUUCUUGGUGGCAAGGUUGCGAAUGCGAUUUACAUCCACCAAGAGGCUUUGCAUUUGUCAUUUCAGCCAGUAGUGAUGAUUGUCAUGUUUCUGAUGCAAGGCCACUAGAAGCUCUCGGUCAUUGAGCACACGAGAUCGCUUCCGAGUCCUUGGAGCAAUGGUGCUUUCUGUGGCUUCAGUACAUGCACGGCGAGUGUUGUCGGCCAAUGGAUAGACACAAGAAGUAGCCUGAACACCUUCAACAUGCUGAGUGAAACUCUGACGAUUGACAUUGUGAAGAUAUAUCGCCUCCUUGGCAGGCUCUUGGUAGAUGGCUUCGACUGACAUAUCAACAUCUGGCAGGAAUAUAAGAUGGUUGCGUGCAGAGGGCUGAUAGUUAACAGCAGAGUGAAGCUUGAUCAGACGCAUAACCCAAGGAGCAUAAAAUUUCAGACCAAAGAUGUUAGAGUCAGAUGCAGCAAACUGUCGAAUGAAGAAAUCCUGAGCAUUGAAGCUUUUGCUAUUGAGAAUGUAGAAGACCAAUGUCUUCAUUGCACCUUCAAGCCUUGCUGAGGAGGAAUGCCCUUUGAUGGGCCAUAGAGUUCGCCUUAUGAUGUGAUAGAUGGUGCGGGGCAGAUACUCUAGGUCUUGAACAAAGAAUUCCUUGGGAUAUUCGGCAUCCCGAGGCAGUGGCUUCAUCAUGCUCAGCAUUUGGCUCAUGUUGGGCUCUGGCUUCUGAAAGAUGAUCUCCAAUGCAUCGCGGUGAAGCUGACAACCAGGCUCAUAGAGUUCACCUGGAGUGGAUAGGCCGGUAAGCUCAAUGAGAUCAUAAGCUUUGGCUUCAUGAUGUACAUUGCCUGUCAUCCACUCAAGGACCCAUGUCUUCGGAUCCUUGUUGAAGCCGCGAAUGUGGAGGGUUGCAUAAAACUGGAGCAGAAGCUCUUCAUUCCAAUGCUCCUUAUAAGUGACAAACUAUAGCAGGCCUGCAUCUUAGAAACAGUCAAGUGCUUCUUCUAAGCAGGGCAGGCCAGCAAUGGCUUCGGAAUCCAGUCGCAUAUGAGGGAAUAUGCGCCCUUGGUUGUAUAGAAUGCAGGAGUAAUAGCUUCGUUGUUGAUAGCUCCAGAACCGAUGAGAUGAUAUUCUUGGCUUGGAAUAUGGGUUCUUGGCACUAUCAAAGAAGGUGUUGUGUGCAAUGAAGCCAUUUACAUUGAAUGAUCCUGGUGCAGAUGCAGUACCUAGAAACCUUGGCAGCCUUGGUUUAGGCUUCUGAACCUGAGGCAUGUGCUCCACAUGAUAGUCAAACUGUGGUCCGGGAGUAGGCGGAGGUACCAGAAUUGGCCAUCUUACUAUGACCAGCUCGCCUUGAUAGAAUGUUUACUCAAUGGUAUGAGGCCUUGGAGGCGGGACAGGAGCAGAGGCAUUAGCAGAGGCGUUAGGCUGCAUAGUGGUUGUAGGUGCAACAUUGGCUUUAUUCACAAUAUUGACUAUAGGCACCACAUUAUCUUCACCCAUGACCUCGUCAUUGGCGUCAGUAGUGUUGUUGGUGGCCGCCUCAGGAUUUUCAACCUCCACUUGAGUAGCUGGAGGGUUGGGCAUGGACACAUUCUCCUCGAGAAUAUCUUCUUCUUGAUUGGUGGGGGGGGGGUGGCAACAUGUUCUUCUUCUUGUCUUUCAUCGGCUGCUGCAGCCGGAAUUUCUUCAGAAGCAUUAGCUUCAGACACAGGAACCGUCACAGAAGGAUUAUCUUCAGGGAACACUUGACGUGCCACUGAACUGGACUGGUGAGAAUCCUCUUCUGUGAUGUUUGUCAUGGAGACCGAUGGCCUCCGGCCUUUACGAAGCCGUUGAAACACGGGCGAUGCUUUCGAUGAUGGUGCGGUCUCCAUGUAAUUUUCGUCAUUGACAAUUGGGCUGGGAACUUGCGUUGGUGAGGGACGGGGUGUACUUGGUGAGUCUUAAACUGGGGUUGCUGGUUGGGGGCGAUCAGCCUAUGAGGCAUCCUGAGUGAUUGGUGUCAAGGGACGACCAAUACUGAUGGGUUCGCUGUUCAUGUGAACUGGCGAUGAUACCGUGGGGCGCUGGAUCUGAGGAAGGACUUCAUCAUCUUCUACAUUGUUUUGAGGACCAACGUCUUCAGUCGCGAUGGGGUCAACGACUGGAACAUCUUGAGCUUCAGGAGCCUCUGUGGAAGCAGGCUCAUGAAUAAUCAACUGACGCUCUUGAUUUUCAUAUGCAGUGGGAGGAAAAGCAAUGGGCUCGACAACAAGGGGCUCUUUGGGUGCAAUCCGAUCUCUCUUCUUGGUCUUCCUCUUCCUGGGGGGUGGUGCAUCACCAGUGGUGUUCUUGGUUUUUCUCUUUCUGGCUUCGGCUUCAGCUGCCCUGGUUUUCUUCUGUUCUGAAGCUGCUCUUGGGACCUUAUGCUUCGAGCCUGUCAUGCUGGCAGGGAAGACAAUGCGUGGUUCUUCCCUCCGUGGAGCUUCAGUUGGGGCCACAACAGACUUCUUCUUGGCAGCCAUCUUGGGGUCAAUGCCUGGACGCCCAAGAGCCUUGCGCUUUUCAGCUUCAUUGUAAGCUUGAACACACUUGGCAGCAAGAUUCUUCAUGCGUUCUCUUGAGCCUUUGGCUUCUUCGCGCUUCGUGCGAAACGCCUCCUUGAGAUCAUUCGGCAUCAGCUUGAACUUCUGAACAUCAGCCACACUAAGCUUGGCCACAUGCUUCUUGAACUGUUCUUUUUCAAAGUCAAUUUUAUUCUUCAGUUCAACAAUGCCUUGAGCCAGAGCCAGCUCAGGAGCAAUGGCGCCUUGAAAGGCGACGAUGAUGCCAAUCGGGAGCUGAAGAUCAUCAAAGCUAAGAUCUGGGUUGUCAAACCACUCAUCAAUGAAGUUAUUCAGAAUGUUUAUGUCAAAGAGGGGCAGAUCAUUGAAGAUCUCCGCCUCUUGCUUGCUCUUCACCGGCUGCUCAAGAGCAUCCUCACCAAACUCGUCGUCUGACGAUAGAUCAAUAGAUUCAGAUUCGUUCCUUAGAAUGGCAGCUGGUGCCAGUGCUUGACUUGUCCUCUGAGCAGUUCUCUUCUGAGGCUUCUCGUUCCGUUUGGAGACAUGAGAUUGAUCUUCAGCGGUGUUACUUGGAGCAGGAGGGGCAGUUGCCAAUGGCUUCACUCGAGAAGCUUUUGGUCUAGCACUUGGUUUGGAAGCCUUAGCUUUCUUCUGCUUCUGUGGUUUAGGAGGAGGAGCUGGUGCAUCUUUAGAGUCAGCAUCAUCACCAGAAUGAUCUACGUUUGCACCUUGAACGGCAAUGUGCGACCGGAGGCCUUCGAAGUUGUACAAGGGGCCGAUCUUGUUUUCAUUGGCUUCAUGGGUGCCAUCUUCCCGUGGAGAGGACGGACUUGGGUUGAAGUCAAGUCCGAAUGCCUUCUUAUUCUUCACAGCAGAGUCUUUUACGAACUGGUAGUUGCGCUUGAAUAGAUGGUCUUCACGGCACCACAGUAGAGAAGAGGGGUCAGCAUUCUCUGGCUGUGACCCGCGAACCAUGCACGGAUAGAAGCCUCGCUCAAUAGCUUCAGUCUGGGACCUGGGUUGAAGAUUCUUGUACAGUAUAUCUCCCCAGGGUUGCUUGAUGGCAUUCUUUUCUGCAUAGUCUUCUGUGACAAAUCGAUACUUGAACCAUUCCUCAGCCCAGUAUCUUCGAAUCCAUUGGAUUCGAUUCUUGCGUCCUGUAUAGGUUUCCUGUGGGUCUAUUUUGUACAGCUCGUGCAAAUCUGGAGGCAAAUCCUUGGAAUUGUUCCCACGAUGCUUUCUGCCACCCUUUCUUGCUGGUUUCUCAGUAGCCAUGAAGCUUAACCUGAAAGGCUUCAGAACUUGCAAAGGCUUCUUACGGCUGGUCAGACAAGAACUUGCUUCGGGAGAAUUUAUAUGACUCUGUAAGAACUCUGCAAAUGAAUGCAGACUAUGAGAACCAAGGGAUUCUCCCACGGACAUGUACCUGUGACAGCAUUAGAGGUGCGAGGGAAGGGGAAGAGGUCAUAUGCAUUCUCAGAAGAUUUUGAAGAUAAAUCAGUUUGAAGACAUUGACCACAUAACGUGAAGACAUUCACUUAUUUGAUGAGAGUUGGUUCUAGAUUUGUACGAAUCCAAGCAUAAGUACAAGUGAGGAAUCUAACUUGUAGAGAAGUAUAAGUGAACAUACUAGGCAUAGUAUGAGAUGCAGAAAGAGAUAGAUUCAACUUUGGAGAUCCAGAAACUACUUUUGGUAAAGAAGGAUGAAUCUAUCAGAUCGAAAAGAUGGUAAAAAGUGAAUUUUAAUUACCACACGAGGAACUGCUAGACGGAGCGAAGUUGGAGGCCGAGCAUAUCGAUCUUCCGUGCCCUAACUUGACGACGGAGGACACCUACGGCGAUGGCGGAGAGGACGAGGUCCGCGACCGACGUGAGGACGGCGUCGGAGAAGUCGCGACAACUAAGCGCUUUGUCGCCAGCGUAGUCGAGAACUAGCGGUGGCGCUAGGGUUUUCGAGAGGUGGCGACGUGGAAGAAGAAUUUUUGACCGAGAUGAGACGGGUAUUUAUAAGGAAAGAGACAACACAACACAAUUACGCAGGUGCCCCUCGCGAUUCACAUCUGAAGGACACGUGGCAAGCAUGCAACUCCUUGGUAGUUGUUCCAUGUUCCCACGCAUGCCUGGAUUGUCAGGGUGCUCGUUCCGAAUUCUUUGGAUUUGAGGCAAUAAAGAUAGAGAAUUAAAAACAGAUAUAAAUGUUUGUCAGAUUGACUUCAGCUGACAAGGUCUCAGUGAAGACAAUCGAUAGUUUUCAAUAGAAUGCAUAUGAUUUGGACAGAUAGAGUUGAGGUAGAAGCAUAGAUAGGUUAGGGUCCGAUCACAUUCACUUAGAUCAAAAGAUUCAGCACAAAACCAUAGCUAUAAGUGAAUGUUGUAGAGGACAGAACAUAAGUAUACUACCAAAUAAAGAUAAAUCAAUUUCAAAGACUUUGCAAAUAUAACGCCAAGAAUACACUUCAAACAAAAGUUUGGUGGUGGCGUUACCCACCGUAUAGGAAGUAUUAGACCCAGACACGGCGCACAAUUAUCGUGGCGCUCCGAAGUCAAAUUCCGCAUUAAUGUAUUCACACUUAGAGUGUAUAUCUUCAUUGAUUGAAGAUAUACGUUACUUUGUGUGUUGCACAUCUAAGUCAUCAAAAUGCAUAAGUGUUAGGAUGUGUGUCCAAUUCACUGGACAUUUGAGGAUUCCAAGAUAUUUAGCUCACACCACAACUUGCAAAACCUUUUCUCAUCCAAGGGCUUUGUGAAGAUAUGAGCCAAUUGCUCUUUAGUGUUGACGUGAAUGAUAUCAAUAUCUUCCUUCAUGACAUGAUCUCUGAGAAAGUGAUGACAAAUCUCAAUGUGCUUUGUCUUCGAGUGCUGAACUGGGUUGUUGGCAAUCUUGAUGGCACUCUCAUUGUCGCAGUAGAGAGGCACAUUCUUCAGGUGUAUACCAUAGUCCUUGAGAGUUUGCUUCAUCUAGAGAAGCUGAGCACAGUAAGAUCCAACAGCAAUGUAUUCGGAAUCAGCAGUGGAGAGAGAUACACAGUUCUGCUUCUUUGAAGACCAACAGACAAGUGAUCGUCCCAGAAAAUGACAUGUGCCUGAUGUGGACUUGCGAUCAACCUUGUCACCAACAUAAUCAGCAUCUGAGAAUCCAACUAGAUCAAACUCUGAGCCUUUUGGAUACCAUAAUCCUAGUGUUGGGGUGUAAGCCAAAUAUCAAAGAAUUUGCUUCAUAGCUAAGUGAUGUGAUUCCUUUGGUGCCGCUUGGAAUCGGGCACACAUGCAAACACUAAGCAUUAUAUAUGGCCUAGAUGCACAUAAAUAAAGCAAAGAACCAAUCAUGGAGCGAUAUACCUUUUGAUCGAACUCUUUACCAUUGGCGCCGGGACCCAGAUGACUUUUAGUUGGCAUUGGCGUCGUGUAUCCUUUGCAGUCUUGCAUUCCAAACUUCUUCAGGCAAUCUUUGAGAUAUUUUUCUUGAGAGAUGAAGAUGCCGUUUUGUUGCUGAUGGAUUUGGAGACCCAGAAAGAACUUCAGUUCACCCAUCAUGGACAUCUGAUAUUGCUCUUGCAUCAUGUGACUAAACUCAUCACUGUAUUUCUUGUUGGCGCAGCCGAAGAUAAUGUCAUACACAUAGAUUUGGCACACAAACAGUUCACCAUCAUAUGUCUUCGUGAAGAGAGUAGGAUCUAGUGAACCAGGUUUGAAGCCUUUGCUCAUCAGGAAGUCUUUGAGCGUAUCAUACCAAGCACGAGGGGCUUGUUUGAGGCCAUACAGUGCCUUGCUGAACUUUUAUACCAUAUCAAGAUAUUUUGGAUCUUCAAAGCCAGGAGGUUGUGCAACAUAUACUUCUUCUUCUAUCUUUCCAUUGAGAAAGGCACUCUUCACAUCCAUUUGAUAUAGAAGGAUGUUGUGAUGAUUUGCAUAGGCAAGCAGUAUGCGAAUGGCUUCAAGCCUUGCCACCGGAACAAAUGUUUCAUCAAAGUCAAUUCCUUCCACUUGUGUGUAACCUUGUGCAACGAGACGAGCUUUGUUUCUGACCACUUGACCAUGCUCAUCUUGCUUGUUGCGAUAUAUCCAUUUGGUGGCAAUGAUAUUGUGCUUCCGAGGAUCAGGACGCUUGACCAGUUCCCACACAUUAUUCAGCUCGAACUAUUGAAGCUCUUCUUGCAUAGCUUGAAUCCAUUCAAGUUUCAUAAAGGCUUCCAUGACUUUCUUGGGUUCUGAGAUUGAGACGAAUGCAAAAUGCCCAUAGAAAUUGGUAAGUUGUGUUGCUCUUUGUGUAGCCCUUGAACGAGUGAGUGGACCAGGUGCAUUGAGGCUAUCGAUCAUCUUCUCAAUCUAUACUUCAUUUGCAACAUGAGGAUGGGCAGGACAAAGAUUUUUUUCAUUCUGAUCAAUGUCAUCAUUUGAGGGAUUGUCUUCAGAUUGAGCAUUGUCUUCAGGUUGAGUGGAUGCAGAAACGAUCAAUUCUUCUUCAGUCUGAUUCUCAAAAGGUAUGAUCUCUCCAGUUCCCAUCUGCUUGAUUGACUCGCUAGGGGGUAAUUCAUCUAGCACAUUUGGCAGGUGCUCUCUUUGCGAGCCAUUAGUCUCGUCGAACCGCACAUCCACAGUUUCAACCACUUUAUAGUGAAAGAUGUUGAAGACUCUGUAGGAGUGUGAAUCCUUUUCGUAACCAAGCAUAAAACCUUCAUGUGCUUUCGGUGCAAAUUUUGAAGUGUGAUGUGGAUCCUUGAUCCAGCACUUAGCACCAAAUACUCUGAGGUAACUUACGUUUGGCUUCUUACCAGUUAGGAGCUCAUAGGAGGUUUUCUUCAGAAGCUUGUGGAGAUAAACACGGUUGAUGACGUGACAUGCAGUGUCAAUGGCUUCAGGCCAGAACUUCCAUGGAGUCUUGUACUCAUCAAGCAUCGUUCGGGCCAUCUCAAUAAGAGUUCUGUUCUUGCGCUCCAUGAUGCCAUUUUGCUGAGGUGUGUAGGGAGCAGAGAACUCAUGAGUGAUACCCAUGGUAUCCAGAUAGAGAUCGAGACUAGUGUUCUUGAACUCAGUGCCGUUGUCACUUUUGAUGUGCUUGAUCUUGACGCCAUAAUUCGUCAUGGCACGCUUGGCAAAGCGUCUGAAGACAUCCUGCACUUUAGUCUUGUAGAGGAUUAUAUGCACCCAAGUAUAUCGAGAGUAAUCAUCAACAAUGACGAAGCCAUAGAGGCAAGCAGUAGCAUUGAGAGUAGAGUAGUGAGUAGGGCCAAAUAAGUCCAUGUGCAGCAGCUCGAAGGGUUGAGAUGUAGUCAUGAUUGUCUUCAAGGGAUGCUUGGCUCUUGUCAUCUUUCCGGCUUCGCAGGCACCACACAGAUGAUCCUUCUUGAACUUGACGCCUUCGAUGCCCACAACAUGCUUCUUCUUUGCGAGAGUGUGCAAGUUUCUCAUGCCAGCAUGCCCUAGCCUUUGAUGCCAAAGCCAGCAUUGUAAAGCUUUUGCUAGAAGACAUAUGACCAUUUGUGGUCCUGCUGAGAAAUCUACCAUAUACAGAUCAUCUUUUCGAUACCCUCCAAAGACUAGAGACUUGUCAGAUUCCAUUAGUACAAGGCAACGAUAUUUUCCAAAUAGCACAAUCAUGUUUAAGUCACAAAGCAUUGAGACAGACAUUAAGUUAAAACCAAGGGAUUCAACAAGCAUCACUUUAUCCAUGUGCUGAUCCCUUGAUAUUGCACUCUACCUAGACCUAAUACCUUGCUUUUACUAGUGUCAGCAAAUGUGAUGUGGCUCUUGUCUGAAGGACGUAGCAUUGAAUCUAUCAGAAGACUUCGAUCACCAGUCAUGUGAUUAGUGCAUCCACUGUCCAUAAUUCAUUCUGAAGCACGAGGUGUCGUAGCCUACAGUGCAGUUUGGGGGAUAGGCUUCACCAAGCGAGCUGUGAAGCAGAAACAUUUGACGAAGAAGUGGAACAUGGAAAUUCAGGUCUUGGUUAGGAUAGAUAGGAUGAGUGUCAAGGAAAUCUUGAGUGAAAUACAUGGUAAGACCAUUUGGGCAUUUAUCUUGCGCCCUACAAGAUUUUUAAGGUCUCCAGCUUUAGCUUUGGAUGCCUUUGAUUUCUGGCUGGAGACCUUUCCCUGCAAAAGAGAGUUAAGUUUUCUUAACCACCCACAUCUUCAGGGGUGGCUUAGAAGCAAUGAGUCUAAGUGCAGCAUCUGAGAAUUUUGGCUUCGGAGCCCUAGUAAAUAGCCUUGCAGGGGGUGAAUAAUACUCAUAUGGAUAAGCAGAAAAGUUCUUGGUUCUAUGAACAUAGCGGUUUAGUGAAACACGCUCAUAUUCAUGGGUCUGAGUAUGAUUUUCCUGCAAAACAUUGACGUUAGGGUGACUCAGAUGAGUCCUCGGUCUGUAUGAAGCUUUUGGACCAUAUGAAGCCUUUGGUAUGGGGUUUGUCUUCUUCACAGGUGGUGUCAUGAUGACAUUCACGGGAAGAUUCUCAAGACAACUUUUGGGUACCCAUAUCUUCUUCAUAGGUGGCCCAUUCCUGCAGUUAGUACCAAUGUACCUGGCAAACACUUCACCAUUCUGAUUCUUAAACAAUUUAUAGUUUGCAUGAAAGGAUUCAUUAAUGAUAAUAGGGUUAGCACAAGUGAAGCCAGAUAAGGAGGGUGGAUCCACUGAAGGUUCCUUUGCAGCAACCCAGGUGGUUUUGGG
This 72848-nucleotide long non-coding RNA is filed under the name Triticum aestivum (bread wheat). Its description in RNAcentral is "long non-coding RNA (TAES_LNC003921)". The record is from RNAcentral. Lineage: Eukaryota; Viridiplantae; Streptophyta; Magnoliopsida; Poales; Poaceae.